This 50222-nucleotide long non-coding RNA is filed under the name Populus trichocarpa (black cottonwood). RNAcentral's name for it is "long non-coding RNA (PTRI_LNC002220)". The record is from RNAcentral. Lineage: Eukaryota; Viridiplantae; Streptophyta; Magnoliopsida; Malpighiales; Salicaceae.
CCUUUUCCUCUAAGAUUUUCUCUAAGGCUGGCCGGUUUGUACCCUUCAAUUCAUCCUAAUAUUGGUCAGUCCAAAAAAUAAUUUUUGUUAGAUUUUACAAAAUCUAUGGAUUCGUCAGUGCGCACAACUGCCAUUGAAUAAGAAAUCGACACUAAAAAUGUGUCGCUAUCGAUUUAGAAAUCGAUAACGAAAACUUUGUCGUUGCCAAUUCAAAAAUCGACAAUGUACUUUGUUGCUGCCGAUUCAGAAAUCAACAACGUACUGUGUCGUUGCUACUUCAAAAAUCAGCAAUGAAAACUAUGUCGUUGUCUAUUUAGAAAUUAACAGCAAUGGUGUAGUCGUUUCUAGUUUUCCCUUUACCCCUUUGUUUGUGUUUACAAAAGCGCACUCAGAAAGAAAGAGAUAUGGCUAGAAAGCGCAAUAUCCAAUAUGUGAGGGCUAGAAAGUGAACUGAGAAUGAAAAAUAAAUAGGGCUAGAAAGCGCACUAUCUGGAAAACGAGGGCUCAAAAGUGCCCUAAAAAAAAAGAUAGGGUUAGAAAAUGCAUUAUCUGGAAGAUGAGGGCUAGAAAGCGAACUCGGAAGAGAUUAGGUGACCUGCUCAUGUGAAAAAAGAUUUUUUAAAAAAAGAUUUUUGAAAUGGUCAUAUUGUCAUAAGUGACUUGCCUAGGUGAAGAAUACAAAUUUGUUUUUCAAAUUGUCUCAUUGUAAUCUUUGUAUUUUCCUUUUGAGUAGGUCGCCUAUUACAAUGAGACCACUUUGAAAAACAAGAUAGGGCAUGAAGGUACACUAUUUGAGAGAGAGGGCUUAAAGGUCCACUCAAAAGAAGAAGUUAGGGCCUAAAGGUGCACUAUCUGAGAGAUAAGGGCUCAAUGACAUGCAUAAAAGAAAAAGAUAGGGCCUAUAGGUGCAUUAUCUGAGAGGUGAGGGCUUAAAAGAGAUUUUUCGGUAAAACACUAGUUUAUCAAAGAUCAAAGUAUAAUGCAUGAUGAUCAAUAUGCAUGUAUACCUACCUAAGAAAUAUAUGUCCCCUUUCUUCAUGAACUUUCCCCUUCUAUAGCAAGCUUUGAUGGCUUUUUUGGUUUUACUUACUCGAGUCAUAACUUGUGAUUUUAACCUCUGGAAAGGGCAUGAUAUCAGCAUACUUCUUUGCCUACAAACCUUUAUCUCAAAGGUUGUCAUCUCUACCCUUGACCUUUUUUCGAUCCAUGGAUUUCGAGACCUUAGGAUUGACUUGUAAAAUGGUACAUCGUGCCCCCUAUUGUUGGGCUUGGGCUUUUUCUCUUUUUUUUCUUCAUUUUAUUUUGAGCAUCAUCAUCAUAUUAACUAUUUUUAUGGUAUGCUCAAACCUUCAAGACUCUUUGGAUUCUUUCAUGCCCCCCUCAUAACUUUGUUUAGGCACCUCUAAUCAUGACUUUUUUUCAUAUUUCUCGUACUUGCCCCUAGUGUGGGGUGUGAUUUUUUAGCCUUGUGAAAUGAUUAUCAAAUAUGACCUCUCUUCAAUUCAAACAUAUGCAUUUAGGAUGAAUAAGCUUUUGAACACAACAAUUACUUUUUACAGACAUGACAAAGUCAAAACACUUUUGUAGACAUGAUCAAACAAAGGCAAUUACUUUUUGAACACUAUAGGAGUAGGCUUUAUCUUUCAAUUCUGAUACAUCUUUCUUUUGGUUAGCCUCCUCAUGAAAACACUUGUAGGUAUCUCCUCUAUAGUAUGAAUAGAAACUGAGUGCUUGCUCAAGUAAAGUAGUGAUGCGACCCACGCUAGCUUUCAGAGACUCCAAUUCUUCUUGGAAAUGAUCAUUAUGGUAGACACGCUCUUUGUCUUCUAUAUUUCUUAGUCUAAGUUGGGUGUUGUAGACUUUAUGGAUUGGAGCUCUUUGGGGACCUAUAUUUCAACCUGAGGCAUGUAUAAAUAUAUAUAUAUAUAUAUAUAUAUAUAUACAUAUAUAUAUAUAUAUACAUAUAUACAUAUGUAUGCAAAUGUAUGCACAUUGGGUAUAGAUUAACCUGUUUGAAGGGCUAAUCCAUGACUUCUUUAUUGAAUAUGGACAAAAAUAUGUAGUUUAUUUAAUCUGAAAGGAUCUUUUUCAAGUCCUUAUCUCAGUUAAUAUACAGUGGAGAGUACAGGACAAAAAGGUGGGUCUGAGCCCCUAAAAAUAAUUUUUACGCACAACAAUUCCCCCCGGCUAAUUACAUCAUCUCAAAUUCUUACACAUAUUCAGAAAAAAUCAUGGUUUUAGCUUAAAAUUAGACAAUCAUGUGAAGUUUAGAAUUAUUGAUCAGAUUUGCCUUGAUGCAAAAUGAAUUAUUAAGGAAUCCAUACCAUAUAUGAAGGUUUUAGGCCAUUAUAUGAGGGGUAAGCUUUCCACUUGGUCUCAAAAGAGUUUAUGAUUUACCAAGUGACCACCUUUCGGGAAAGGAGUAUAGGGGUUUAUAAGGAAUGGUUAGGGUAUAGUGUGACCGUCAUUACCAAGUAAACGCUCAGCUCAUAGUUGGAUGUUUCACGAGUCUAAACCCCGACUGAAAGUAAUGAGACAAACCGCUACUCCUCACCUAACCUAGAAUCAAGUUUAUUCGUAAAAAUUAAAAUGCAUGAAGAUAUUAAUCCAUACCCGACGUACUACUGCAUAAGCAGUAUGCAAAAAUGCAUUUUAAAUAUGCUAAAAUUAAACAAACUAAAAUAAACAGGAAAACAAUUAACAAGCAAAGUUUAGUCUAACCAAAUAAGGUAUUACCCAGCAGAGUCGUCAUCCUGUUGUAACUUGCAUGGCGUCGAAUGGAGGGUCUACCUCUUAAGAGUGGUGAAAAUAGGGUUUUAUGUAUAAUCAUAAAGUUAUGGUUAUGAAGUUCAGGAGUCACCACCUAUUAUUAUGGUUACUAGAAAACCUAUGGUCUACGAGAGUCUAGAUAAGAGAUUGGUUGUGCAAGGAAAAAAUGCAUCACCCUAGUGCACCCUACCUACAGUAGACUGCAUUGUUGUUUGAUUGUUUUUCUGAUCCAAGUUUCGAUUCGUUGGUCUUAUCUAAGGUUCAAGACAGAUCUUUCCUCAUGAGAAAAUAUUUACCUUAUCGGGUUAAAUCUUAACCAUUCUAAAGGUCAGACUUAUUUAUUUCUUGAAUAUAGCAAAGUCAUAGUAUUCUGAAUUACAAAAUAAUUGUUAUGGGUUUUUUUAUAUUUUAACUAAACCCUAAUGCAUUAACCUAGUUAUGAUAUUUAUUUUUUUAUUUUUUAAAAACAUGAUAAAAAUGUGAUUUUAUCUUUUAGAAAAAUUCAUGAAAAACCUUUAGAAUUUAGUCGUAUGCAUGAAAAUCAAAAACAUUUUUUUUAUUGUUUUUGAAAUUUUUUUUUCAUGUUUCGUAGGAAUCCGGAUAUUUUUAAUAUCAGAUCCAUAUCUUACAGUGUAAGUCUACAGCUUGAUAUUGUGCAAAAUUAUUGGAAAUACAUACAAGGGACCCUUAAAUAUUUUAAAAUGCCCCAUUAGAAAAUCUAAAUUUUUUCUGCUUUUUUUUUAAAUAUUUUUUAAUUUUUUAAUAUUAUUAUAUUAUUAUUAUUUUAUUAUUAAAUAUGUGUUAGACUAGACUUGACCUAGCCAUUUCAACUGGUCUUAAAAGGGUUCAUCCCGACUCAUUCUAUUUAUGUCGAUUGACUGCCCUACAAACCUCUUUUUUUAAGAGGGGGAUGGGUUGCAACAGGUCCAACCUAGAUAGGAUGGCUUGUUUGAUGGCCCAACAGUCUUUGCUUUUCCUUUAUUUUUUUAUACUGGACCAGACUCGGCCUAACCAUCUCGGUUGGGCUGAAACAGGUCUAGCCCACGGUCCACAUGGUUGUCGGCCCGACCCAACGACCAUGUUUAUUGUUUUGCCAUUGCAUGCAAAACCAUGCAAUGCCCACCACCCAAGGGGAAACAAGAGAAAAGGAAGAGAAAGGCUUGUGUGACUGGAGGAGAAAAGGUGUUGGUGGGGUUCCUGUUUUGUUAAUGUUAUAUUUUUUUAAAACGUAAAAAAAAAUAUUUAAGCAUUUCUAACUUUUUUUUAAGAAAACAAAUUGCAUAGAAGUUGACCUGAUGUGACCUGGUCAACUUGACGGGUACCAAGAUAACCCAAACAACCAGUAAAAACACAGUUUGACUAAAAAAAUUCAAGACGACAAGUUUUUUAAAAAUAUAUUAACAUGACAAUAUAUAUUGGAUUGACUUGGAUCAACCUUAGUUAAUCUGUUAAAUUUUCAACCAUGAUUAUAAAAUCAUAAUAACCCUAUAAAAAUAAAUCAAAAUAAAUUAUCAAAUUUAAUUCAUAAUAACCCAAAUUUUAAGGAUGAAAUUAAAAAAAAUAUCAAUUAAAAAAAUAUGUCCCGAAUCAACCCAAGUUCACUUUCCAAACUCGCAACUCAGGUCAUGAGACCGUGAUAACCCCAUAGAAAGCAAAUCAAGAUAAAUUAUGUAAUUCAAUUCUCAAUCAACCCAAUGUUAUAUAUAUAUAAAGAACUAAAAAAUAUUAAACAACUCAACUUGAGUUAACCCAUCAAAUUGGUGACUUGAGACAUGAGAAAAUGCUAAUCUUAUAGAAAACAAUUAAAACAAACCAUGAAGUAUAAUUCUCAAUCAAUAAAAUAUUGAAGAAUGAAUUGAAAAAAAAUCAAUAAAAAAAAAAUUAAAAUUAAGUCAACAAAGUUAAUUUGUCAAAUUCGUGACUCGUGUCUUAAAGUUAUGAUAACUCAUAGAAAGCAAAUCAAAUGAAAUCAUGAAACUCAAUUCAUAAUCAAUAAAAUAUUGCAUGUUGCAUGAAGUAAUUGAAAAAAAAACAAUGAAAAAAUAAACGAUAAACAUAAAUCACAAUUAAAUUAACUUUUAAUCCGGUUAAUGAAAUUGUGAUCAUCAAUACAAAACAAAUAAAUAAAAAAACAUAUAUCACAAUUUAUAAUAAAUAAAAUGAUGAAAAAUAAAAUAAAAUAAAUAGUAUUUGGUGAGGUGAGGAGUUUUGCUAAUGUUAAUUACAUAUCCAAUGAAAAAGUGAAAGGUUGUUGUUUUGAAUAAGCCAAGCUUCCCCGUCGGCAACUUUUGGCAGGUUUUAGCAGUACACAGUUGGCGCUGCUAAUUGAAUAGAUCCGUAAUUUUGUUGUUUUCAAUCUGAACUAAUUAGAUGAUUGAGGAAAGCAUGGUGGUAAUUAAGAGUAAGGACACCAUUUAGAAUCAUAAUUAUUCUUUUCAAAUUUAUUUUAAAUCUAGUUAAGCUCCAAGUCUUUCAUUGUUCGGCAUCUAAAACAGAAAGAGAUGUUAAAUCGAAUCUGUCAAACAAGAAAAGCUGUGGACUGAUAUCUAUAAAUAGCAAAUCAAGUUCUACCAUUUCUCCAUCCCAAACAUUAAUCUUCAAACUCAAGCUUCUCGACAUUUAUCUACACAUUUAACUCUUCUUCAUUUGACCAUCUUCAAACUCCAGCAGAUAUACGUUAUCAUGGGAGUUUUCACUUACGAAUCAGAGGCUUCCACAGUGAUCCCACCAGCCAGGCUGUUCAAGGCCCUUUUCGUUGAUGCUGCUGAAGUCAUGCCCAAAGCCCUGCCACAGACUAUUAAAAGCAUUGUCACUCUUGAAGGAGAAGGAGGCCCUGGAACCAUCAAGCAAACUUAUUUUGGCGAUGGUCAGUACGUAGCUUCACUAGUAGUCUGAUACAUGAUUUCCGUAACAGUCACAAUCCAUCAUUUUGAAUAGAUUGGUUUCACUCUUUUGCUCCUCCUAGUAAACAAAAAUGAGCUAAAAAACUAACAAUAUGGAUUUGCAUUUUGAACUUUUGACCAAGGUCGAGUCUUGCAUACAUAUGAACUAAGGAACCAUGCAUGCUUGUUGAUUCCUCAGGUAGCCUAUCUUUCAAGGAGAGGACUGAUGCUAUUGACAAGGAGAAUUUGUCAUAUGCGUACACUGUGUUCGAAGGUGCUGUCUUGGCAAACACAUAUGAAAAAAUCUUCAACGAAUCUAAGAUUGAAGCCUCCCCUGACGGAGGAUCGGUGUGCAAGACCAGCACCACAUACUACACUGUUGGCAACAUGGACGCAAAAGCAGAUGAAAUUAAGGAUGGACAAGAAAAGCAAAUGGGAUUAUUCAAGGCCAUUGAAGCCUACCUGUUGGCAAAUACUGAUGCUUAAAUGUGCGUUCCCUGAAGCUGGUCUUGACGUUUGUUGUAGAGUUCCUGAAGCUGCAAAAUGGUAAUAAACAAUCUGUGUUGAGUUCUACGGUCUUGUAAUUUUCAAUAAUAUUAAAAAUAUUUGGUGUAUUGUUUGUAAGAAGAUAAUUGAAAAUCCUCACGAAAAAUAAGUUUUUACUUGCAAAUGAUUUGGUGGACGUACAUUCUUCAAUUUGGCAUCUUACUAAUUACAUAAUCAUCAGGGAGAUGUUUCUUAAUUCAACAUAUUUACAAGAGAACAUGGCCCAAAAAUGAACGAAGACCACAGAAAGGAGAUUUCAUUAACAAAGUUACUCCUACGUCAAAAUAAAAAAUUGAAUAAAUCGACUAAUCAUAAAUAAUUGUCCAAGAAUAUUUUAUAUUAUUUUUCUUAUAGUAGUAAUAAAUAUUAUGUAUAAAUAUAUGUUUAAGACUAUUUUUCAAAGCGCUAUAAAGAGUGUUAGAAAGAACAAUAUCAUUAUAAAAUUUCUUAUAUUUGCUUGUACAACCCAAUUACGUAUAAUCAGUGUAUUGUUAUUAUUAUUUUCAAAAUAAAUGGAGUUAGAAAACAUCACAAUAGAAGCUUUUAUACUUAAAGCCUAUUUGAACUUCUUGUGUUGUGUUGUGUUGUGUUUAUUGUAUCGAGUUGUGUUAUAAAGUUAGAUAAAUCAAACUAUUUCGGUAAUGAAUUGUUGAGAUACAUUUUUUUAUGAGUUACAUUGAUACCAAACACCCAUGAUGAAGUGUUUGUUAUUGUAGAAUUUUUCAGAUCUUGUCUCCCAGGUGUAUAGGCUGUGUCAAAUCUACUUUAGCUUCUCAUUCAAUUUGCUGUGAUGUGUAUUGAAUGACAGAUCUAUCUUUUAAAAUUGAUAAAAAGAAGGUUUUGUGUAUAAUUAUAAAAUUAUGAUUAUAAAAUUUGAGAGAUGUCAUCUAAUAUUAUGGUUAUUAGGAAAUCUAUGUUAUGCGAGAAUCUGAGUAAUUGACUGAUUGUGUAAGGGGAAGACGCAUUACUCACAAUACGACCCAUCUAAGGUAGGCUGUAUUGUUAUUUGAUUAUUUUCCUGAGUUAAGUUUCUAUUUGUUGGUCCCGUCUAAAGUUCAAGGCAGAUCUUCCCUAGUAAGAAAGUAUAUACCUUAUUGGAUUAAAUCUUAAUCAUUCCAAGGGUCACACUCUUAGAUAUAACUAAGUCCUAGCAUUCCGUAUGACAAAAUAAUUGUUAUGGUUUUUUUUUUAACAUUUUGGUCAAACCCUUAUGAAUAAUUAUAAACUAGUUAUCCAUUUUUUUAUUUAAAAAAAUGAUAAAAAAAUGAUUUUAUCUUUUAGAAAAUAUGCAUGAAAAACCUUUAAGAUUUGGUCGUACGCAUGAAAACUAAACAAUUUUUUUAAAAAAUGAAAAUUUAUUUUGGGAUUUUUUUUGAAAUUUUGUUUUAUUUCUUGAAGUUUUGGAGGAAAUCGGGUAUUUUUAAUACCGGUUCUGUAUUUUACAGUAUAAGUCUACAACCCGAUAUUAUACAAAAUAGUUGGAAAAACAUGCGAGGGAUCUGUAAAUAUUUUAAAAUGCCACUUGGAAAAUUUGAAUUUUUUUCUUCUUUUUUUAAUAUAUAUAUAUAUAUAUAUAUAUAUAUAUAAUAUUAUUAUUUUAUUAUUAAAUAGAAGUUGGGUUGGACUCGACCCAACCAUCCGGCUAGGAUGAAACGGGUUCAGCCUACUGCCCACAUGAUUGUUGGCCCAGCCCAGUGACUAUGUCUACUGUUUGGGCAUUGCAUGCAAGUCUGACCAGAGGAGAAAAGGUGUUGGUGGCGUUCUUGGUGGUGCAGGGAAGUCCAGCGUGUGAUUGGUAGCGGCAAUGACAGUGGAGGAAAAAGGGAAGAGGUGGCCGAGAUGGGAGAAAAAAAUCUAGGGAAAAGAGCUAAUUUUUUCCAAAUUUGGCCUCAGAUUUCUUCCUCUUCAAUGUCUAGAAUCCACCCCUGUUUAUAGGAGGUGGAAGCGCGACACUUUGUCUUUAUUAGGGACAAACUUUGGCCCUUGUUUCAACUGGGAAAGAUCCUAACCAUUGGCUCAAAGAUGUCAUCAUAGUCUAUCAAAAUGGACUGCUAAAGGCUACCUAAGUUGGCCUCUUUGGGGCAGUGUCGUGGCGGCUGUGGUGUUAAGUAGUCGAAAAGAACAUUACCGGUGUGUAGUCAAAUAUCAGGCCAUCAUGGUGGUAUAUGUUUUGUCAAAUUUAGUGAAAAAAAGAAACAUUAAAUCCCCCUGAAAGUAGCCAUUCGGGCAACUUUUUUUAGUAAAAAGAAAAAGUUGAUGAGGUGUAAUAACCCGACUUUUUCAUUACCAAAACAACUAAAAUUUUUUUUUAUCACCAUAUCAUUCUGAAAAUUGAUAAACCAACGCCCACUUAUUAUCGUGGCACAAUCCAUAUGCAAUAACAUCACUCAACAUUUCUUAAGGAGCAGUUCUCACACAUACACAUAGUCACAUCUGCAUAAAUACAAGUUUACAUCAUAAUAUAUGUACAUAGUCAUAAGUGCGCAUACUAUGUAAUAAUAGUCAUUACGAGUUUAAAUAAAAGUACCGAGUAACAAUUAUACAUUAAUACAUUUUACUCGUACAAAAUACAUUGUAAUUUAAAUGCGAUUACAUAAUUCUUUGCAAAAGUAGGGUCCCGUGAAAUCGGGUUCCUAGGCACCUCGUUGGUGUGACGUCCCUGUUGCAAUACAAAUAUUUACAAGAAUUAUAAAUAAUUAAUAAUAAGCAAUUAAAUAGUUUAAGGAAAGCAUUAUUGUUAUUUUCUGUUUAAAGAAAAACAAUCGUGGUUCUUUCAUUUACUUGGUACACACAAAACGUAAUACACAUGAACGCAUCAAUUCUUGAAACUAACUCAUAACUUCCCAAUCCAGCUAUCCUCUUAGGACGCCCUUAAUCGAAGCUAAUUAUCAAUCACAACCCAGCUAUACUCUUCAGAUGGCAUUAGUCAGAACUAAUCAUCUAUUCAUCCCGGUCAUCCACUCAAGAUGCCAUUAGCCGAAGCUAAUCAUCUACUCAUCUUGGUGAUCCACUCUGGAUGCCAUUAGCCGAAACUAAUCACGUAUUCAUCUCAUUCAUCCCUUUAAAGUGUCAUUAGUCAAAGCUAAUUAUUUAUUCAUUUCGGUUAUCUACUUUAGAUGCCAUUAGCGGAAACUAAUCAUGAAUCACAAAACGAACACUCCCAUGACAGCUUGGUAUUCAUAAUAACACGAUAUUAUGACAUUCGUAAUAAGACAUUUCUUAGUCAGUUAAACAUGCAUCACAACACAAUAAUAUAUCAUCCUUAAACAAGUCAUUUAAGAACAUUAACAUUUUUUAUCAACAACUUAAUCAACAUUUCAUAGUCAAUUUAACAUUCAUCACAACGCAAUAAAAUAUCAUCCUCAACAAGUCAUUUCAGAACAUUAACAUUUUUAUCAACAACUAAACCCACAUUUUGUAAUCGGUAACAUUCAUCAAUAACUCAAUCAACAUUUUAUAGUCGGUUUAACAUUCAUCACAAUGCAAUAAUGUAUCAUUUUCAAACAAGUAAUUUCAGAACAUUAACAUUAUAUAAGAAAAAGGUGGAAGCCACCUACCUGUUCCAUCUAUGAGGUGUCCUUGUCCUAACAAAGGUCUAAUCCCAAUCACACCACCUAAAACAUCAAUGGCCACAAAUCAGUGCAUUCAUAUUUAGUAAUCACACCACUUGUCACCAUGCAUAUUUCCAGCAUACACAAGUUCAUAUUCAAGUGUUCCACAUAUUACAAUCACACAAUACAAUUAUUUUAAUCAACGAACCAAUCCAGCUAUGUAAAUCUGCUGCAAACUAAUUAGCGAAAAAUAGUUUGCUAGUGAUGCAGAUUCGUUAACGAACUGAUUUGCUGAAAUACAAAAUCAUCAGCGAAACUUGUUUGCUAGUGUUGUAGAUUCAUCAAUGAACUGAUUCGCUGGAACAAAGAAUCGUUAGUGAAACUGGAUCACUGGUGACACAAACUCGUCAGCAAACGAAUUCGCUGGAACACAGAAUCAUCAAUGAAACUAGUUCGCUGGUGACACAAACUCGUCAGUGAGUUAAUUCGUUGGAAUAUAGAAUCGUAACAAAAACUAGUUCAUUGGUAGAGCAAAAUUUGGCAACAAAAACGGCUUCGCUAGCGACAUAGAAUUCGACAGCGAAAACUAGUUUGCUACUAACACCACAAUUCGACAACGAAAACUGAUUCACUGCUAACAACAUAUUUAGCUUAAAUCGCCAGCCCACGUGGGUUACUAUUGACUAAAAAAUUGUUAAUGAAAGUCGAGUCGCUACCAAUUCAGAAAUCAUCAACGUAACAAAGUUUCACGGCUGACGCUGAAAUCGUCAACGCAUAUGGUUUACGACCGACGCAGAAAUUGUUGAGGAAAACUGAGUCACUGCUGACUUAGAAAUCAUCAACGCAACCCCUGUCAUUGCCAAUUCAAAAAUCGGUAGUGGCAAUGAAAUGUUUUUUGGUUUUACUUCUUCCCUUCGACCAAGCAUAAUGCUUAUGUUAGUCGUCCCUCUACCAAUGUUUCUCACCCUAGGUAGACAUAGAACUCACUAAAUCACACUCCAUUCAUCAUCAAACAACACAAACAUCAAUACAAGUUCAUUUAGCAAGGUUUUCCCAAUUCAUUCCUUCCAACAUUGGCAUCUAGCAUUGCUACUAUAUAAAUUCAUGCAUUCUCAAUUGCAUUAUGGUAAUGUACCAAUACAAUUCACAAACACAUGCUCACUUUCUUGAUUCACAACCAUACCUAUCCAUUCAACACAUCAAUAAACCAAAGCAUUAACUAGAAGGAGUCUCGUUUUAGUUGCAAUAUGUCCUUUUAAGGUUUACCAACAGCACAAGUGCAUUUCAAUAAUAUUUCAACACAUUUCCAUAGAUUUUGUCAGAGAUAUAUACAGAAAUUACAUCAUUUAUACAUGUAUGAUUCUAUUUUUCUAGUUCAAGUAUGACUCUAAAGUCUUGACAAGGUCAUCCUUCAAGUAUUUGGUCACUUAAGUUCAUGGUCUAUCCAGCCAUCAUUAUGGUCGACCAUCUAACUAGGUUUGUACCUUCAAAAUUGUCCAUCUUCCUUGUUGUAUGUUCUGGUUAUAGGUCCCUUAUUCAGCCCUAUUAUUGUCUUCCUUUUUAGUCUAGUUUUUCCCCUAGCAGCUAGUGUAAAAUUUUAGGCAUUCUCUCAUGGUUUUCUUCUUCCUUUCGAUUCUAAGGACUUAAGAACAGGUGGGGAAAAGAUUUGGUUCAUACAUUACUAUUUUCAACAGCUUUAGGAAGGGAUUUAACAAGUUUUCCUCCCUCCUCUACUCAUGGUUUUCUAUUUCUUCUUCCUUUCUGGUUUUGAUUUUUCCUUCCUUCUUUCUCUACUUGCACCAAUCGGCUUGUUGCACACCCUCUCUUUCCAUGGUUUCAGCCAUUUUCGAUACUCCUUAACUCUCCUUUACUCUCUAGGGUUCAAGAGGGAUGCAUAUAGCUAGGUUGGGGGUCUUCUCUUUGGGAAAUAUGGAGAGGUUCAAUUGCAUGCAACUGGCUGGUUUUGGGGAAGAGCAAAGGUCACCUUUUCUCUCUCUCCUUGCAUUUAUACCCCCCUUAAAUAAGGUGGGGUGUUUAGGGCUGGUUUAAAUAUGUUCUUGUCCCUGCUUUGAUUUCUUUAAAACCGGUUCCCCCCCCUCUCUUAACUCCUUAAGGCAUACCAGUUUGCUCCCCUAAACUCUUAUUUAGCAUGAGCCAACAUCUUACAUAGAUUUCUUUCGGGUAUUACAACCACGAUUGACACAUGAAUUUGUUAGCGCACACAACGACUGUUGAUUCAGAAAUCAUCAAUGAAAACUGAGUCGCUAUUGAUUUAGAGAUCGGCAACGAAAACUGGGUCGUUGCUGAUUCAGAAAUCGGCAACGACGGUGGAGUUGUUUCUGGCUUUACCUUUUUUUUUUGUUAGGUGAUUACAUUCUCUAAUUUAAUCCCUAAUUGAUCCCAAAACUUUGAUUUUCUUGUGAUUUUACCUUGAUUUGAAUCAACUGACUUUGUAAAAAUUAAGUUUGAUCCUCUAAAAUUCCAAUUUUCUCAAUUAAGCCCAAAUUGGGCUCCCAAACUUAAUGUUUCACUAAUUACGUGCCUAAUAAAAUUAAUUUGACCCAUUUAAAGUAUUAUUAAGUCCUUGCACUUAAUUAAAUCCUUUAAUUUGACCCAAAUUAAUUCUUAAAAAUAAUUAAACUUUUAAUUUAGCUCAUGAUUAAAUCAAAUUGGCCUAUUAAAAAUCUAAUCAUAUCCCUAGAAUUAAUUUUUAUGUAGAUUCGUUCAAUAACGAUUUGAUUUGACCUUGAAUCCACAUUAUUUUUCCAGUUUCUCCCAAAUCAUUCAAAAUUACAACUUGAUAUUCCUUUAAAUUUGAAAUCCUCUCAGCUUGCUUUUGCCAAAUCGUCAGUCUUUUUGCUAUUAUUAUUAUUAUUUUUUAAAAAGAAAAGGGGGUAAAAUUUUGGAGAAUAACCUAAAAAUAGGUUAUGACAGUUGCCCCCUCUCUUCAUAAUACUUACGAUAGAAAGUCUCAUAAGAGACUUUAGAUAGUAAACUUUGUAAGGAAGAAAAAUGAAUGAGAGAUAACGGAUUCACUAGAUCAAGAAAUGGUGAAUCCUUCUGAAAGUGUUUGAAGUGAGAGCUAGAAAGUGCACUCAAAGAAAAAAGAGAUAGGGCUACAAACCACACUAUCUUAUAUGAGGGCAUAAAGACAAAUAUAUAUAUAUAUAUAUAUAUAUAUAUAUAUAUAUAUAUAUAUAAAGGGGGCUAGAAAGCGCACUAUCUAGUAGACGAGGGUUGGAAAACACACUCGAAAAAAAGAGAUGGGGCUAGAAAGCAUGUUAUCCGAAGGACGAGGGCCCAAAGGCACACUUAAUGACAAAGAUAUAGCUAGAAAGCACAUUAUCCGUUAUGCGAGGGCUAGAAAGCGCACUUAAAAUGAAAAAUAAAUAGGGCUAGAAAACGCACUCAAAAUGAAAAAUAAAUAGGAUUAAAAAGCGUACAAUCUGGAAGACGAGGGCUCUAAAGUGCACUUAAAAUAAAAAUAGAUAGGGUUAGAAAAUGCACUUUGUGGAAGAUGAGGGCUAGAAAACGCGCUCGAAAUAGAUUGGGUUUGUAUAGUAAAAGAUGAUAUUUAUGAAAAACUGAAAGAUUUUUUGAAGUAGUAUAGUUGUACUAGGCAACCUUCCUAUUAAUAAAAUUCAAAGAUUUUUAAAAUUGUCAAAUUAUCACGAGUGACUUGUCCAGGUUAAGAAUACAAAAAAAAAAUUCAAAUAAUCUCAUUGUAAUGAGCGACCUGCUCAUGUGAAGAAUUUAAAGAUUUUUCAAAAUAAUCUCAAUGAUCUAUCCAAAAAACAAAAUAAAAAAUUUUCCAAAGAAGAGAUAACGGAUUCACCAGAUCAAGAAAUGGUGAAUCCUUCUGAAAGUGUCUGAAGUGAGAGCUAGAAAGUGCACUCAGAGAAAAAAAAGAUAGGACUAGAAACCACACUAUCUCUUGGAUGAGGGCAUAAAGACAAAGAUAUAUAUAUAUAUAUAUAUAUAUAUAUAUAAAGGGGGCUAGAAAUCGCACUAUCUAGUAGACAAUGGUUGGAAAACACACUCAGAAAAGAGAGAUGGGGCUAGAAAGCAUAUUAUCUGAAGGACGAGAGCUCAAAGGCACACUUAAUGACAAAGAUAUGGCUAGAAAGCACAUUAUCCGUUAUGCGAGGGCUAGAAAGCGCAUUCAAAAUGAAAACUAAAUAGGGCUAGAAAGCGCAUUAAGAAUGAAAAAUAAAUAGGACUAGAAAGUGUACUAUUUGGAAGACGAGAGCUCUAAAGUGCACUCAAAACAAAAAUAGAUUGGGUUAGAAAAUGCAUUAUGUGGAAGAAUGAGCUAGAAAAUGCACUCGGAAGAGAAUGGGAUUGUAUAGUAAAAGAUGAUAUUUAUGAAAAACUGAAAGUUUUUUUGAAGUAAUAUAGUUGUACUAGGCAACCUUUCCAUUAAUAAAAUUCAGAGAUUUUUAAAAUUAUCAAAUUAUCACGAGUGACUUGUCCAGGUGAAGAAUAUAAAUUUGUUUUUCAAAUAAUCUCAUUAUAAUGAGUGACCUGCUCAUGUAAAGUGUCGCACCCCACAUCGCGGCGGCCUUAAAAAAUUAAUUCUUUGGAAAAGAACAGAUUUCUGGCAUCCUGUUCUUUAAUGGGGAUAUUCUUUGUUUAAGGAGUCGCCACCUAGUAUUAUGGUUACUAGGAACCCUGACUGGUCAGCAGAGAUUCUAUGGUACGGGACUGGUUACGCAAAAGGGAAGAUAUUAUCACCCCUCAAACGUCCUGCUUGAGGCAGGCUGCAUUGCUGGUUUUGUCAUAAAUUGCUAAUGUUUUGUUGGUUUAUGCUAUGAUGGUUUGCGUGUAAUAUUCCUGACUCUGACGCUAGUGAAUAUUUAACUACAAAUAUUUCCAACUCUGGCGUUGAUAAAUAGUACGUAGCUAUAAAAUAAAUUUAAAUCCGUAUUUUUUUAUUCUUGACUCUGGCGUCAGUGAAUAAACAAAUCAAAUAAAUUUAUUUUUUACGCAUACACAUUUUUUAUGUAACUAAAUAAAAGUAAAAUACAAUAAAAUAAAAUAAAAUAAAUUUACAUCAGUAUCUUUAUUCCUGACUCUAGCAUCAGUGAAUAAACCAAUAAAUUUACUUUAUUUUAUUUUAUUUUUGCAUGCAUAUUUUUUUUAUUUUUAUGUAAUUUAAAUAAAAUACAAUGAAAUAAAUGUGAAUCAAUAUUUUUAUUCUGACUCUGGCGUCAAUGAAUAAAAACAAUAAAUUCAUAUUUAUUUUUUUAUUUAUACAUAAACACAUCUUUGUUUUUUAUUUUUUUUACUUUUUAUUUUUCUAUAUUUUAUUUUUUUUAUUUUUUGGGGCUAGGCUCAGCUCAGUCCAUGUGGGCUGGACUCAGCCAGCCCGGCCCGGUCACUGGCCCAAGCCAGUGGCCUGGCUGGGCUGAGCAACACGCGUGCGUUAACUGGAGGCGAAGGCGCGCGGUUGCUGAUCAGCCUGCCUCUUUCUUGCUUUCCCUGCCUCUAGUCUUUUUUGCUUCUCUUGUUCUCCUUGUCUCUUCAAUGUCUGCCUGGUGCUGGAGCUUGAUGACGAAGACAAUGGCGGAGAUGUGUUGAUUGGCCAAAGCGAACUUCUCUCCUUUUCUGUUUCUGUCUCUACUGUAUGCUCCCUUUUGUUUUUUUUUUGUUCGCUCCUUCUCAAGCAAUAAAAACAAUGGCUCUGAAAUUGGAGCCACCGAAGAAGAGGUCGAGAGCGUCUCCUUUUGAAAUUGGGUCUGGGUUUUUGCUCUGGUUUUCGGUCUGUGUUGCUCUAUUUUUUUUUUCUGUCUGUGGUUGCUGAGAGACAGACGAAGACGAUGAUAUAUGUAGGUGUGAUGGCUAAAAAAAAACUUCCCCCCACCUCUGUUUCGUUCGUUCUCUGUGAUCUCUCUGUUUUUCCCCUGUGUUUUUCUGUGUGUCCCCUGUUUCUGUGCUCCUCUUGCUUCUAUUUUUUUUUCAUCUCUGUUUCCCCCCCUUGUUCUACCUUUCUCCUCUGCUCUCUUCUGUGUGUGUGUGUAUUGUAUUUCUACGUGUUUCUCUGUUUUUUUUUUGUAAUGUCCUUUUUUAUUUUUAUUUUUUUGUAGGUUUCGAGUAAUGGCUUUCUUCUAGAGUUUUUUUUUUAGGGUUUCUCUCUAAUCGUCCUCUUCUUCUUUUUCUUCAUACCCUGAGAUCUGUAUUUAUAGUGCCAGAGUCCCUUCGCGUGUGAGAAACCAAGUUUCAAUGAAACUCAUUCUCUUCUUUGAAGUUUGAAUUUGAUUAAGAAUCAAAUUUGAAAGCAGAUAACUAUCCUUAUCUUAAAGACAAGGAUUAUCUCGAAGAUAAAGAUUAUCUUGAAGAUAGGGAUUAUCUUGAAGAUAAAAAUAGAAUGACAAAAGCACAUUGUAGUCCUUAAUUUUCACGGAAGUUGACAAAUCACACUUUUCAUCGAAAUAAAUCUCUGAUCUUUUAAUUUUUCAUUUUAACCCUGUAAAAAUUAAAUUAAAAGCCAAAGGGCCAAAAUUGGGUUAUGACAGUUGCCCCCUCUUUAUAAUAUUUACGAUGCAAAGAUAUUGAAAAUUUUCAUUUUCUUUAGCUUUAUGUAGUAAAUUUAUAAAGAAAAGUAGAUACGGAAAGAAAUUUUUUUUUUUUUUAGUCUUGAAAACUUCGAAAACAGUAGAUUGACAUAUGACUUUUACAGAGAGAACAAGUUAUUUGGAAGACGACCCAUUUUUUUUGUUUUUUGUUUUUUUUUUUUUUUGAAAUGGAUCAAAUUGUUUUGGGCAAUCUGCCCAAUGAUAAAAGAAAUGCGAAGAAUUUCGCGAGUGAUCUAAUUGUUCCAGGCGACCUACCCAAUGAUUGAAAAAUACGAGGAUUUUUUUUUUGUGAUGGUAUAUUGUAAUGGGUUACCGGCCCAGAUGGUCACAUUGUAAUGGGUUACCUACCCAAUAUAGGAUGGUAUAUUGUAAUGAGUUACCUGCCCAGUAUAGGAUGGUAUAUUGUAAUGGGUUACCGGUCCAAAUGGUCACAUUGUAAUGGGUUACCUGCCCAGUAUAGGAUGGUAUAUUGUAAUGGGUUACCGACCUAGAUGGUCACAUUGUAAUGGGUCACCUGCCCAGUAUAGGAUGGUAUAUUGUAAUGGGUUACCAGCCCAAAUGGUCACAUUGUAAUGGGUUACCUGCCCAGUAUAGGAUGAUAUAUUGUAAUGGGUUACCGACCCAGAUGAUCACAUUGUAAUGGGUUACCUGCCCAGAUGGUCACAUCGUAAUGGGUUACCGACCCAGAUGGUCACAUUGUAAUGGGUUACCUGCCCAGUGGAAAAAUACGAAGAUUUUUCAGAUGGUCACAUUGUAAUGGGUUACCUGCCCAGAUGGUCACAUUGUAAUGGGUUACCGGCCUAGUUGGUCACAUUGUAAUGGGUUACCUGCCUAGUGGAAAAAUACGAGGAUUUUUUUUUUAAGACAUGAUAGGGCUCGAAGGCGCAUUAUUCAAUAGAUGGAAGCUUGAAGGAAAUGAGGGCUCGAAGGCACACUCAAAAGGAGCUAGGAUAGGAAAUGCACUACCUUUGAUGGUCGAGGGCUCGAAGGCGCUCUCGAAAUAGAGAUAAGACGAGGGCUCGAAGGCGGGCUCAAAUGGAGAUAAGACGAGGGCUCGAAAGCGCACUCAAAUGUAGAUAAGACGAGGGCUCGAAGGCGCGCUCGAAUGGAGGUAGGAUAGGAAAUGCACUACCUUUGAUGGUCGAGGGCUCGAAGGCGCGCUCGAAAAGGAGAUAAGACGAGGGCUCGAAGGCGCGCUUGAAUGGAGAUAAGACGAGGGCUCGAAGGCGCGCUCGAAUGGAGGUAGGAUAGGAAAUGCACUACCUUUGAUGGUCGAGGGCUCGAAGGCGCGCUCGAAAAGAAACAAGAUGAGGGCUCGAAGGCACGCUCGAAUGGGGAUAAGACGAGGGCUCAAAGGCGCGCUCGAAUGGAGAAUGAAAGGUGGUGGGAAAAUACAGAUAUUUUUCAGGUGGCCUAAUUUUCAUGGGCGGCCUGCCCAGGUUGAAAAAUUCUCAAAAGUGAAAAUUUUUCAAAAGCUAUUUCAAUGUUCUCCAUUUCAAGUUGGCCUUCCGCUUGAUGGAUUCUGUUAGAAUUUUCUCUAAUAAAAUUUACAACACUCAUUGUCCAAUGUCUCAAAGUUUAAAUGAUAUGCAUGCAUCUUUACCUGAUUUGAAAUAUAGACCCCCCAUUUCUUCUUAGUCUUCUUGUUGCUUGGUUGGUGAGAUCUUGCUAUCUCAUUUGAGUCAUCUUUGUCGUUUGGCUUUCUAGCCUACUCGAGUUGGCCUAUGUAAGUUUAUUUCCAGAUUUGUUUACAUAACUCAGCCUUUGCGGUGCCCAUCGUGACCCACUUGCUUGCUAGAGAUUUUCUAAUCUCGUCAAAUAAUUUGAGAGGAUUAUUCAUUACCCCUCGUCUCACUGCUAAAAACAUUCGGUAUCACUUGCUGAAAGGACCAAAAUGCCCCCUUGUCUUGUUGUAAGGGAUGAUAGAUUUUCCUUAAACACAAUGUUGUCCCCUUGUACUGGUCAUUGCCCCCAAGUGUGCUAUGUCACUGACUUAGAUGAAUAAUGGUUUUAAGAGACCAAUCUCUCAUUUCUCUCCUUUUCAAUUUGGUGAAGAAGUAUGGGUCUAGAAUGAAUCUUGAAAUCUUGAUCUUGCAUUUUAAAAACAAAAAUUAUUUCGAUGCGAGUCUAAAACAAUUUGCUUUUGAAAUGCAACUCCUUGGUUAUUUUCUUUCUUGAAAAAGAGAUUAUUUGCUCUUGUGUUUGGCAAUGAGGUCUUCGGUGAAAAUAUGUCAUGAGAUGACCUUUUGUUUCAAAGUGAAGGGCUCGAGAAAAAGCUUGAGGUUUUGUAUGAGAAAAACUUGUCUCUUUUUGAACAUACAUUUUUAUCAGCAUGAAUAAUAAUGAGUAGUUUGUUCUUGAUGUCAUGAAUCUUAUGAAAAAAAUAUUCUUUGCAUAUUGAGAGCAUUGUUUAUUAUUCUAGGUUGCUUGCUUGCUUGAUUAGAAAGGACUUCUACAGGCACAUAACGUAGCUGUGAUUUUUGGCUAUGAAAGAAGAGGAUUCAUAAGGCUCAAAGAGUGUUUUAGGGUUUCAAAAACUAAAGAUCACUAUCAACAGUUUGACUCUUGACGUCAUUUAUAUUUUCUUUUGCCGCUCUUCUUUGAUUUGCCCUUUUUUUCUUUUUUUUUCAUUGCUUUGCUAGAGCAUACUCACUUUAUCUUGGUUAUCACUUUUUCUUGUGAGUUGGGCAUCCCCCCUAGCAUUUGAGUUUCUUGGGCUCUUUUGCCUUUUGGCUUUCUCACGGCUUUAUUAUCUUUCUUAAUCAUUGAAAUUUCACUUGCCCCCAGUGUGGGGUGUGAUCCUAGUCGGGAUUUUUUCAUGAAAGAAAAAUUAUUCAGGCUCAAAAAGGGAUCGCAAGGGAUGUACUUAUUUCAGAAUGUGAAAGGAAUAACAAAGAUGGCAUUUCCUCAUUUCAAGCGCAAGCAGUUAAGAUCAAUAAACUUUGACCUCAUCUAGUGUGAUGGUUUGGUCUUUGCAAAGAUGCAUUUCAAGGGUCAUGAGCAACAAGUUCACUACAUACCAUUAUUCAUACAUUUAAAAACACAUUAUUCAAGAGUCAUGGGGUAAGGGUAUUUAUUCAUUUCUUUUUCUUUUUCUUUUUCUUUUUAGAGUUUAGUCACCUCUAUGAAGGAGUUGCUUGAUUCACUUGUCAUUCUACAAGUAGAAUGUCAAAAAUAUCGUUUUUGAGUAAACAUCAAAUUACUUUUGAAAUCAAAAUGCCAGAUCAAUUUUUCAAAACUCCAAUAGGGAAACUGAUUUUGGUAAAAGUAAUGAAUUGAAUCUAUGAGAUUGCGCAAGGCUUCAAAGAUGUGUUUGUGAGUCUUUAUAAGAAAACUCUCUCAGAAAAAUGAAUAAUGUUUGGUCGUAAACACGAUUGAAUGAUAAACUCAUUAUUUUCAUUGAAACUUUGGAAAAGAAGUUCAACAACAAAGAACUUCUGACAACAUUUUGGGCUAUGAAUACUGGCAUGAUAGCCUAUAAAGGGGCUAAACAUUUAACAAUCAUUGAUUGGAAUUUCUGGAAUCAUUCAUUCUCCUUGACAAGGGCAUCUCUUCAACAGUCAAUAAUAUCACCAUAGCUUUAUCUUCAAGAUAGUUGAUUUCUAUGAAUUGGUGUGAAGCAAUUAGCUAUAUGAACAAUAAGUGUCUUGGCAACCACCUUCAGUGAAACCCUUCUUCUCAGUCAGGUUAGCAAUCUUACCUAACCCAAUGGCUUGUUCAAUCCUCUCAGCUAUAACAACCAGGUCAGUGAAAUUUUGUGCAGAGCUUCUAACCAAGUAUUCAAAGUAUGGAGCUUUAAAGUUGUGGAAAACAAAUUGAUCAUCUCUUUUUCCAACAUAGGAGAGUUAACUUGUGCAGCUACCUCCCUCCAUCUUCGAGCGUAUUUCCUUAUGGACUUCUUGUUUUCCUUCUCCAUAGCUUGCAAGUUUAAAUGAUCAGGGUCCACGUCUAUAUUGAACUUAUAUUACCUCAUGAAGGCAUCAACUAAAUCCUUCCAUUUUUUAACCUUGGUAUUGUCCAACCGCAUAUACCAAGUGAAGGCACCAUCACUCAAGCUGUCUUGAAAGAAAUGAAUCAGCAGUUUCUCAUCAUCAGCCACCUUAGCCAUUUUGUUGCAGUAUGCUUUGAGAUGAGGGCAUUGAGUUCCCGUAUAUUUAACAAAUUCUGGCACUCUAAAAUUUUGGGAAUGACAGCGUUGGGCACCAAACACAUCUCAACAGCCUUUAUAGGAUCAUAUAGGUGAAUUCCCUCAAAUGCCCUCAUCCUUUGCUAUAGGGCAAUGAAUUUGUUCAGAUCAUCUUCUUUUACCAUCUUGCUUUUUUAAGAUUCCUUCUCGUUUGGCCCUAGAUUCUGUGGAUUUACGAGCAUAGGUUCAGGCUGAGCUGUAGAUUUUGCUUCUUCAGGUUUAGAUCUCAAGGCUUGUUCGAGUAGGCUAGUAAGCCUGACGACUUUCCAUCUCUUUUCGGUGUGGGGCUUCCAACUGGGCUCUUUCUUCGUUUUCCAUUUGUCUUUUUCUCAAAUGAUUGUUAUAGGUAGGUUUCAAUGGGGGACCUAUAUUUCACCUGGAGUGCGGUAUUAUGACAGGUCAUAAUUGUAUGUUCCAACAUGCAUGAAGAUGAAUACAACAUAUUGGGUAUGGAUUCGCCUUUUGGGGGGUGACAUAACGAUCGUUAUUCUUUAAAUGUGUGGUCAGAUCCGAAUCUGAUAUUCAUUGCAAUGCCGAGAGGAGAUCUGUUUAGCAUUUUGUCAUCUGAGCUUUCAGCCACAUUCUUGGUGUCUUUCACUAUGCAUCUAAUGUCUUUGAGUAGCGGUAUCUCACCGACAUCCAGUCUAGGGCAAUCUCCUCGGUCAUUUGCAAGGAUUCAGACUCGAAUCCAUACUCAACAGUUGUUAUCUUAGGAAUAUCGGUCAUUAUAUCACCCGAAAGCACGUUUAAGCUUAUCUCAAUGAAUUUACGCAGGGAUUAACCUAAAGGAUAGGUUCUAGUCAUUAAAUGCAUCAGGGUAGUUUUGCUAUCUAGUCUCAACGGUCUUUCACAUGCUCAGUGAUCGCCCUCGAAAGGUUGAUAUAAGGUUUACAAGCAGCGUGAAGAUAGAGGCCCUGAGUAAUAUCAGUUUGGCAUAUCGACCACUGUCAAGCAAACAAUCAUGUGAGAGUUGGAUAGUUUCGCGAGCCUUACCCAGGCUAAAGCCAUUGGGGUGCCGUUACUCCUCCACUUAUCUUAAAGUUGAUACCACAUGUAUUUUAAAAAUAAGAUGAGUGAUGUGUGAAAGCCUUAGACACAUGUCCAAUACAUAUGCAUGAUAAACAAUGAAUAACUAUGCAUGCUAAAACAGUAAAAAGAGCAAAAUAUAAAACUUGAUAAACACAAACAACACAACAACAGAAACACAGUACAACAAAACAUUUUUAACAAUAAAAAAGACAAAUAGAAAAGCUUAGUCCUAAGGUCCCCAGUGGAGUCGCCAUUCUGUCGCACCCCACAUCGCGGCGGCCUUAAAAAAUUAAUUCUUUGGAAAAGAACAGAUUUCUGGCAUCCUGUUCUUUAAUGGGGAUAUUCUUUGUUUAAGGAGUCGCCACCUAGUAUUAUGGUUACUAGGAACCCUGACUGGUCAGCAGAGAUUCUAUGGUACGGGACUGGUUACGCAAAAGGGAAGAUAUUAUCACCCCUUAAACGUCCUGCCUGAGGCAGGCUGCAUUGCUGGUUUUGUCAUAAAUUGCUAAUGUGUUUGUUGGUUUAUGCUAUGAUGGUUUGCGUGUAAUAUUCCUGACUCUGGCGCCAGUGAAUAUUUAACUACAAAUAUUUCCAACUCUGGCGUUGAUAAAUAGUACGUAGCUAUAAAAUAAAUUUAAAUUCGUAUUUUUUUAUUCCUGACUCUGGCGUCAGUGAAUAAAUAAAUCAAAUAAAUUUAUUUUUUACGCAUACACAUUUUUUAUGUAACUAAAUAAAAGUAAAAUACAAUAAAAUAAAAUAAAAUAAAUUUACAUCAAUAUCUUUAUUCCUGACUCUAGCAUCAGUGAAUAAACCAAUAAAUUUACUUUAUUUUAUUUUAUUUUUGCAUGCAUAUUUUUUUAUUUUUAUGUAAUUUAAAUAAAAUACAAUGAAAUAAAUGUGAAUCAAUAUUUUUAUUCUGACUCUGGCGUCAAUGAAUAAAAACAAUAAAUUCAUAUUUAUUUUUUUAUUUAUACAUACACACAUCUUUGUUUUUUAUUUUUUUAUUUUUUACUCAGCCAGCCCGGCCCGGUCACUGGCCCAAGCCAGUGACCUGGCUGGGCUGAGCAACACGCGUGCGUUAACGCACGCGAGUUGCUACACUGUGCAAGUGAAUUAAAAUUCACUUGCACAGUGUAAAUGCUAAUUAGCUGCAACAAAAUGAAGAAGUAGAAGCCGCUUACCUGGUCUGCUGGAGGCGAAGGCGCGCGAUUGCUGAUCAGCCUGCCUCUUUCUUGCUUUCCCUGCCUCUAGUCUUUUUUGUUUCUCUUGUUCUCCUUGUCUCUCUCAAUGUCUGCCUGGUGCUGGAGCUUGAUGACGAAGACAAUGGCGGAGAUGUGUUGAUUGGCCAAAGCGAACUUCUCUCCUUUUCUGUUUCUGUCUCUGCUGUAUGCUCCCUUUUGUUUUUUUUUUGUUCGCUCCUUCUCAAGCAAUAAAAACAAUGGCUCUGAAAUUGGAGCCACCGAAGAAGAGGUCGAGAGCGUCUCCUUUUGAAAUUGGGUCUGGGUUUUUGCUCUGGUUUUCGGUCUGUGUUGCUCUGUUUUUUUUUUUUUUUUUUUUUGCCGACUGUGGUUGCUGAGAGACAGACGAAGACGAUGAUAUAUGUAGGUGUGAUGGCUAAAAAAAACUUCCCCCCACCUCUGUUUCGUUCGUUCUCUGUGAUCUCUCUGUUUUUCCCCUGUGUUUUUCUGUGUGUCCCCUGUUUCUGGGCUCCUCUUGCUUCUGUUUUUUUUUCGUCUCUGUUUUCCCCCCUUGUUCUACCUUUCUCCUCUGCUCUCUUCUGUGUGUGUGUAUUGUAUUUCUACGUGUUUCUCUGUUUUUUUUUUUUGUAAUGGCCUUUUUUAUUUUUAUUUUUUUGUAGGUUUCGAGUAAUGGCUUUCUUCUAUAGUUUUUUUUUAGGGUUUCUCUCUAAUCGUCCUCUUCUUCUUUUUCUUCAUACCCUGAGAUCUGUAUUUAUAGUGCCAGAGUCCCUUCGCGUGUGAGAAACCAAGUUUCAAUCAAACUCAUUCUCUUCUUUGAAGUUUGAAUUUGAUUAAGAAUCAAAUUUGAAAGCAGAUAACUAUCCUUAUCUUAAAGACAAGGAUUAUCUCGAAGAUAAAGAUUAUCUUGAAGAUAGUGAUUAUCUUGAAGAUAAAGAUAGAAUGACAAAAGCACAUUGUAGUCCUUAAUUUUCACGGAAGUUGACAAAUCACACUUUUCAUCGAAAUAAAUCUCUAAUCUUUUAAUUUUUUAUUUUAACACUGUAAAAAUUAAAUUAAAAGCCAAAGGGCUAAAAUUAGGUUAUGACAUAAAGAAUUUAAAGAUUUUUCAAAAUAAUCUCAGUGAUGUAUCCAAAUAAAAAUAAAAAAUUUUCCAAAGAAUGUUUUGGAACAUCCCUUUUUUGGAUUUGGCAUUUUGAUCAUUCAAGACGCCCGCGCUACAGACAGCAUGUCCAGAUCAAUAGUUUAUUGAUCCAAAGUUUUGUCCUCUUCAUCUAUUUAACUAAUUAGAGAAUUAAUUUUGGUGAUUCACUAUGAUGGUUGUUUCAGGGGUAAGGACACCACCUAGAAUCAUCAAUGUUCAUUGAAUAUUUAUUUUAAAGCUAAUUGACAAAGCGUCUCAUCGUUCCAUCGGCAUCUAAAACAGAAAGAGAUUUAAUUCGAAUCUUUGGAACAAGAAAAGCCUCAAUCUGUUAUCUCUAUCAAUAGCAAAUCAAGUUCUACCAUUUCUCCAUCCUAAACAUUAAUCUUCAAACCCAAGCUGAUCGACAUUUAUCUUCACAUUUAAUUCCUCUUCAUUUGACCAUCUUCAAACUCUAGCAGAUACAUGUUAUCAUGGGAGUUUUCACUUACGAAUCAGAGGCUUCUACUGUGAUCCCACCACAGGCUGUUCAAGGCCCUUUUCGUUGAUGCUGCUGAAGUCAUGCCCCAAGCCCUGCCACAGGCUAUAAAAAGCAUUGCCAUUCUUGAAGGAGAUGGAGGGCCUGGAACCAUCAAGCAAACGUAUUUUGGCGAUGGUCAGUACGUAGCUUCACUAGAAGUCUAAUACAUGAUUUCCGUAACAGUCACAAUCCAUCAUUUUGAAUAGAGUGGUUUCACUUUUUUGCUCCAUCUAGUAAACAAAAAUGAGCUAAAAAACUAACAAUAUGGAUUUGCAUUUUGAACUUUUGACCAAGGUCGAGUCUUACAUACAUAUGAACUAAAGAACUAUGCAUGCUUGUUGAUUCCUCAGGUAGCCUAUCUUUCAAGGAGAGGACUGAUGCUAUUGACAAGGAGAAUUUAUCAUAUGCGUACACUGUGUUCGAAGGUGAUGCCUUGGCAAACACAUAUGAAAAAAUCUUUAACGAAUCUAAGAUUGAAGCCUCCCCUGACAGAGGAUCGGUGUGCAAGACCAGCACCACAUACUACACUGUUGGCAACAUGGACGCAAAAGCAGAUGAAAUUAAGGAUGGACAAGAAAAACAAAUGGGAUUAUUCAAGGCCAUUGAAACCUACCUGUAGGCAAAUCCUGAUGCUUAAAUGUGUCUUGUCUGAUCUUUUUCUUCAUAAGUUAGUGUUGAUGUUCGUUUUAGUGUUCCUGAAGGUUCAAUUGGUUUGGUAACAAAGAGUGUCUGUGUGUUCUUCAGUCCUGCUAUUUCCAAUAAUAUUAAAAGAUGAGUUGUCAUUCUUCUCUUGCUGUCGGUCUGCAUGCGUGGGUUCAUCUGUGCGUUGUGGACGUCCAGUUUGUUGAAAGUUAACAACUUAAGCUGGUUACUUGUUUUUAAAGCUUCAGAAGUAAAUCCUGAGGUUAUAACGAGAAAAAUGAAGAAAUAAGAAUGAAGAAAAAUGAAGAAAUGGAAGGAAUUCUGUUAAAUCAGUUAAAAAAACAAUUAAAACAGUUAUGACAGUUAUAGUCGGUUUUACUGUUACAAACCGUUUCUUACAUGUGUAAGAAUCGUAGCCCUCUAUUAAUGGAUAGAUAAGAUGAUCUUGGUUCCUAAAAUCUAGGAAUCAGUUACAUUGAAAGUGUAUAAAAGCAGAGUUUGUUGCAUUAAUGAGAUACAUAAUAUAAUACAAGAAUUUCUUCUCAUCUUCUCUGCAAAACUCUUCUACAAACUCUUCUUUAGAAACCUGAAAUAUCAAAUAUGGUAUCAGAGCUCUAAAACUGAUUCCUAAGAAGGGCGUAAACUGUAAAAACAGAUUGAUUAAACUAUUGAUUACUCAAAAAUGGUAGGAUCAAGCUUUGCUGGAGGAGAUCUAAGAACUCCACAGUUCAAUGGCACAAAUUAUGACUUUUAGGCUGUAAAAAUGGAGACAAUCCUCGUAGCAUUCGAUCUAUGGGACAUAAUAGAAGUUGGAAUACAAUCUCAUCAAUCACCUGAGGUUGCAAUUGGAUCAGACGAUGAAGAGAGUGAAGCUGAGCAAACUACAUUGCAAACAUCCACUACCUCCAGAGAAAACAAAAUCAAGAAUGCAAAGGCAUUAAGCCUCAUACAAGGAGCAUUAACAGAUGACCUUUUCUCACGCAUAAGAAAUAAGAAGACUGCAAAAGGAGCUUGGGACAUUUUGAGCAGAGAAUUCAGAGGAGAUAAAAAGGUUAGAGCUGUAAAACUUCAAGCAGUGAGAGCAGACUUUGAAUACCUAAGGAUGUCAGAGAGUGAAAGCUUAGAUGUAUAUCUAGCUAAAUUCUUUGCAACUGUGAAUAACCUGAAAUCAUUAGGAGAAGAUGUAUUAGAAAACAGAAUUGUGCAGAAACUGCUAAUGAGUCCAAGCAGAAGAUAUAAGUCCAUUGUGUCAAUCAUUGAAGAGACACGAGAUCUUAAGGUUCUAAGAGUAGAAGAAGUCAUUGCUUUUGUUAAAGUCUAUGAUAAGAGGGAGGAUCUCCAUGAUGAAAGGGAUAAGCUAACAGGAACAGAGAAGCCUUUAGCAGUGUAAAGGUUGGAAACAAUCAAGCCUACAGUUCAAACAAGGGUUUCCAAGGCAAAUCUACUCAAAGAUGACAAUCACAAGAUAGGAGGGGAUCAAAUUGGACUCCAAACAAAAACUUAAAUAACUACAACAAUUCAAACUGGAACAACACUGCUUGGGGAAGUAGUCAAGCGAGUGUAAAACCACAGUGUCAGGUCUGCCAGAAGCAACACUUUGGAUUGUGCAGACACAAAGGAAAACCAAGAUGUGGAAGAUGCAAUCGGUUUGGCCAUAUUGCAAAAGACUGUGAAAGUCACAGUCACAAACAACUAGCAAAUUAUGCAAAAGAAGAGAGAGUAUCCACUGGAACCAUGUUCUAUGCUUGCCAUUCUGCAAGCUUGUAAGAUAGAAAGAUAUGGUUUAUGGAUAGUGCCUGCAGCAACCAUAUGGCCUCUAAAGAAUUUGAACUAAUUAACAUCAAUAGAACAGUGACCUGCAAAGUAAAGAUGGGCUCAGGAGAUCUUGUGCAAGCAACUGGAAAAGACACAUUGGUUGUGGAAACUCAGCAUGGAAAAUAUAUAAAAAAGGUACUGCUUGUUCCCGGAUUGGAUGAAAAUCUAUUGAGUGUAGGCCAGAUGAUGGAGCAUGGUUAUUAUAUCCUUUUUGGAGGUAACAAAGCAAUGAUAUUUGAUGAUGAAAGCCUCAACAAUGUUAUAGCAAUAGUGAUCAUAGAAGGAAAUCGAUGUUUUCCACUUUCACUUGAGUCCAUCACACCUGCAGCAAGGAAAGCUUCAGUGACUGAUAACUUCUGGAUAUGGCAUAGAAGACUGGGACACCUGAACUUUGCUAGCAUGAAGAAGAUGCAGUAGAAAGAGAUGGUAUGUGGACUUCCUGUUCUGACAAAAAUAGAAGAUGUAUGUGCAGGCUGUGCUUCAGGCAAACAUCACAGGGAGAAAUUCAACAAAGAGCAAGCGUGGAGAGCAAGCUAUCCACUGGAAUUAAUCCACACUGAUCUGUGUGGACCAAUGCAGAAUGAAUCUAUGGGGGGGAACAGAUACUUCAUCAUAUUUAUUGACGACUACUCAAGAAUGUGUUGGGUAUACUUCCUCAGAAACAAAUCUGAUGCACUCAAUGUAUUCAAGAAAUUUAAAGCAUUUGUAGAGCUACAAAGUGGAUAUAAAUUGAAGAAGCUAAAGAGUGAUAGAGGUGGUGAAUAUAUCUCAAAUGAGUUUGAAGAAUUCGGUGUAAAACAAGGAAUGGAGAGGCAGUUGACAAUUGCAUACUCUCCUCAGCAGAAUGGAGUUGCAGAGAGGAGAAACAGAACAAUCUGUGAAAUGGCAAGGUCCAUGCUGAUAGAGAAAGAAAUGCCAGUAAUCUUUUGGGCAGAAGUUAUGAAUACAGCUGUGUAUAUUCAGAAUAGAUGUUAUACAACAUCUGUUAUUGAAAAAACUCCAUUUGAAGCCUUCACGGGAAGAAAGCCAGGAGUCAAGCAUCUAAAGGUGUUCGGUUGCUUGUGCUACACACAUAUCCCAUCAUCACUAAGGCAAAAAAUAGGAUAGAAAAUCUGGAAAGGGAGUCUUUGUUAGAUAUGGUAGCUGUGAUAAGGGGUAUAGAGUAUAUGAUUUGAAAUCUGAGAAUGUUGUUCUCUCAAGAAGUGUGAUUUUCAGUGAAGAUAGGUCAUGGAAUUGGGAAAGAAAUCUGAUGAAUCAAAACCACUUGUCUCUCAAUCUUGAAGGAGAUGAAGUUGAAGGAGAAAAUUCUGAAGAACACUCUACUGUAGCCCAACCCAAUAAUAUUGAACAUUGCCAUCAAAAUUCUACAGUUGGAGAGUUAGCUGAGAAUAUUGGCAGUAACAACAGUUAACAAUCUACACCUAGCUCUACUCUAGUAAAAUUGAAAACCUUGGAAGAUAUAUAUGCAAGGUGUCACAUGUGCAUCAUAGAACCUAAGAAUUAUCAAGAAGCUUUUAGAGAUAAAGCCUGGCAGGAGGCUAUGAAGAAAGAAUUGGAAGUGAUAGAGAAGAACAAUACUUGGAAAUUGAUGGAAAGACCGAUUGAUACACCUGUGAUACGAGUGAAAUUGGUGUACAAAACUAAGCUUCAUCUUGAUGGAACAGUACAAAAAUACAAGGCUUGCCUUGUAGCAAAAGGAUAUGCACAGAAAUUCAGAAUUGAUUACAAUGAAACCUUUGCACUAGUAGCAAGGCUGGACACAAUUCGGACUCUCAUUGCACUUGCAGCAUAGAAGGGGUAGAAGUUGUUUCAAUUUGAUGUUAAGUCAGCAUUUCUAAAUGGGUCAUUAAGGAAGAAGUGUAUGUUGAGCAGCCUGAAGGGUUUGAAGUAAAGAAUGCAGGACACAAAGUUUACAAACUAAGAAAGGCCUUAUAUGGACUAAAGCAGGCACCGAGGGCCUGGUACAGUGAAAUUGAUGCAUACCUCUCUAUGUGCAAAUUCAAAAGGAGCACAAGUGAAGCUACUUUGUAUACAAGGUCAGACCUGGAAGGUAAUUUGAUCAUUGUCUCAAUCUAUGUUGAUGACAUUGUGUACACUGGCAGUAGUGAAAGGCUGCUUAGUGAAUUUAAAAGAGAAAUGAUGCAGAGGUAUGAGAUGUCUGAUCUUGGGCUCCUUUAUCAUUUUCUUGGCAUGGGAAUACUGCAAAUCGAUCAAGGGGUAUUUAUUCAUCAAAGCAAGUAUGCUAAAUCCAUGCUUAGUAAGUUUGGACUUGAGGACUGCAAACCAGUCUCUAUUCCUUUAGCUAUUGGUGAGAAACUGAAGAAAGUGGACGAGAGUGAGUUGGCUAAUAAAGGUCUCUAUAGAAAAAUAAUAGGAAGUUUAUUAUAUUUGACAGCAACAAGACCUGAUCUAAUGUAUGCUACUAGUUUGUUGUCACGGUUCAUGAAUGGACCUACCAAAACUCAUAUGGGAGCUGCAAAAAGGGUCCUAAGAUAUGUGCAAGGAACUCUCAGUUAUGGCAUUGAAUACGUAAGGGAUCAAUCAGCAACUCUUAUUGGAUUUUGUGAUGCAAAUUGGGAAGGAAGUGAAGAUGAUAGUAGAAGCACUUCUGGCUAUACAUUCAGUUUUGGAAGUGGAGCAUUCUCCUGGGCCUUUGUGAAACAGAACACAGUGGCAUUAACAACUGCAGAAGCUGAGUAUGUCUUAGCAUCUGAAGCAACUGCUUAGGCCAUUUGGUUAAGGUUUGUUCUUGAUGAUUUUGGUGAAAUACAAGCUGAGGCAACACCCUUGUUCUGUGAUAACAUGUCAGCAAUUUCAAUGGCCAAAAAUCCUGUUUUUCAUCAAAGAAACAGGAAGUAUCAUUUCAUAAGAGAGGCUCUACAAGAGGGAGUAAUAGAUGUGAAAUUCUGCAGAAGUGAAGAAUAGCUUGCAGACAUCUUCACAAAAGCAUUGCCUAAAGACAAAUUCAAGCAACUAAGAUUGAAUCUUGGAGUUAAACCAGUAAGCAGCUUAGAAAAGGCUGUUGAAAGUUAAGAAGUUAAGCUGGUUACUUGUUUUUAAAGCUUCAGAAGUAAAUCCUGAGGUUAUAACGAGAAGAAUGAAGAAAAAUGAAGAAAUAAGAAUGAAGAAAAAUGAAGAAAUGGAAGGAAUUCUAUUAAAUCGGUUAAAGAGACAGUUAUGGCAGUUAUAGUUAGUUUUACUGUUACAAAUCUGUUACAAAUCGUUUCUUACAUGUGUAAGAAUUGUAGCCCUCCAUUAAUGGAUGGAUGAGAUGAUCUUGGUUCCUAAAAUCUAGGAAUCAGUUACAUUAAAAGUGUAUAAAAGCAGAGUUUGUUGCAUUAAUGAGAUACAGAAUAUAAUACAAGAAUUUCUUCUCAUCUUCUCUGCAAACUCUUCUACAAACUCUUCUUUAGAAACCUGAAAAAUCAAAUAAGUUGGUCUCUCUCUUGUUGCCGUUUAUGCUGUCGUUUUCGCACCCUACCUUGACCAUUGGUGCUUUCUGAGCAUUCUGCCUCUAGUGCGUUUACUGAUCCACCGCUUCAAUCAUGAUUAGGUAGAGGGUUCCUGUUCAUAUUAGGAGUGUCUUUGAAUGCUAUCCACCCAGCCUUGAUUAAUUGCUGAAGCUUUCUCUUGAAGGCAUUGCAAGUAUGAAUGCUAUGUCCGGGAGCACUAGCAUGGUAUUCAUAAGUGAGCUCUGGCUUGUACCAGCCGGGUUAAGUGGCUGCAAAGGCGCUAGAGGUUCGGGAGCUACAUGCCUGAUGCUUAAUAGCUUCUGUACAUUUCAUUCAGGGGCAGCGGUAAUGGAGGUAGUUGUUCUUGGACCCUUUGGUAAUUUCCAAUUUGGCUUUUGGCUUGAAAGUUUUGGGGCUCAGGUUUUUUGGUGGGAGGUGAAAAAUUGAUGUUAGUAAUUUGGGAUGGAGUGUGAUAGUUUUGGAAUGUGUUUUUCCUACCCCUAUAGUCAUCUCCAACAUGGUCGACCACCUUUCUUUCAAAGCCUCUUUUCUCGGGGGCUACCACAAUUCUACCACUUUUGACGCCUUGCUCUAUAUGCUCACACACUACCACAGCAUUAGUGAAUUGCUGAGCCGAACUACCCAUCACAUGCUCGUAAUAUGGUGCUUUGAGUGUGUCAGCAAAUAAAGUGAUCAUCCCUUUGUCCAGAAGUGGGGGAUUGACUUGAACAGCUGAUUCUCGCCAUCUUUGAGCAUAUUCCCUUAUGCUUUCUUUAUCCCCUUUCUCCAGAUUAGACAAGUUGGUUCUGUUGGGAGCAAUGUCCAUGUUGUACUUGUACUGCUUGAUAAAAACAUCCACCAGGUCUUUCCAUCUCCGGAUUUUUGUGUUGUCCAAUCUCAUGUACCAGCUCAAUGUUGCCCUACUUAAGCUAUCUUGAAAGAAAUGCAUCAGUAGUUUUUCAUCAUGUACUACUUCUGUCAUUUUAUUGUAAUAGGACUUGAGAUGAGUCAUGGGGCAUUGUGUUCCACUAUAUUUGAUGAACUCAGGAGCACAAAACUUUUUCGGGACAACCACAUUUGGGACCAGACACAUCUCUGCUGCCCGUACUGGAUCAUAUAAGUCUACCCCCUCAAUUACUCUGAUCCUAGCUUCCAGCGCCUCCAUCUUAUCUUGAUCAAUGCUAUCAGAUGACUUGGCCUUGUGGGACUCAUUAGCAAAUACAUCCAUGACUGCAGAAGCUGGUGCAGGUGUCGCUGAUUGCACAAAUGCUGGAUUAUGUUGAGGCUCUUGACUAUGUUCACUCAUUCUUUCUUCAGGUUGAGCUAUUGUUGGAAUCUGAUUAAAGGUGACUGAUCGGUUAGAAGGACCUUCACCAGAGGUAUUUCUCAAUGUUUGCUCGAGUAAGCUAGUGAGGCGAUCCACACUUGUCUUCAGAGACUCCAACUCUUCUUGAAAAUAGGCGUCACGGUGAGCGCGCUCUUCAUCUUCCAUGUUUCUCGCUCGAAGUCGGGUGUUGUAGACUCUUUGAGGACCUAUAUUUCAACCUGAUGCAUGUAUGUAUGUUAUUUACAAUGAAUGGAUGUAUGUGUACAAUGCAAAUGUAUAUACAUGCGUAUUAGGGAGUUCAUACUCUAAGGAUAUGUUGGGGCCAUUACAUGAUGGGUGGCUUUCUACCUGGUCUCAAAAGGGUCUCUUGUUGUCCCAGUGAUCACCCUCGUGAAGGCAAUAUAGGGGCUCAGUAGGUAGUAUGAUGGCAUAUGCACCAACCAUUACUAGUCUAAGCACUCAGCGAAGAGUUAGGGUUUACACAAACUUAAACCUUGACUAAAAGUCGUAAGGUAAGCUGCUAGUCCCCCACUUAACCUAAAGUUUUUUCAGUAUAAUUCCCCUCAAAUGUGAAUGAUGCAUGAAAUAAUUUUAUACAAUGCAUGAACAAAUAUGUACAAAAUUAAAGCAUAUGAGCAAAUGAGAAUGAAAGUUAACAAUAACACAAAACCAAACAAUAAAAAACGAUGAUCAGACAAAAACAAAGCUUAGUCCACAAGGUCCCCAGUGGAGUCGUCAUUUUGUCGCAUGUGUGCGGCGUCGCGGCGAUUGUCCUCCACACUCAAUUGUGUGUAUCUAUUUGGAAAAUAUGGAAAGAUAAGGGAUUCUUGUCUUUUAUCAGUGGAAAAAAAUGGAAUGGGAGUCGCCACCUAGUAUUAUGGUCACUAGGAACCCUAACUGGUCUCAGAGAUGAGGUACGGAGACUGGUUGCGUAAAAGGAAGGUAUUAGCACCCCAAAUAUGUCCUACCUAAGGUAAGCUGCAUUGUUUUAUUUGUCUGAUCAAAAUCUAAGGUUUGGUCGUGUUUUCUACUUGUUGGUCAUGUCUAUCUAAGAUUCAAGAAAAGCCCUCCUCACAAAUAUUUUUGAAUUUUUCUUUUAACAAAAAAUAAAAAAAAACUGGGCCGGAUCUAGCCAACCAUCCUGGGAUGGGCCUGACCCGGCCCAUAUACUGGGGGCUGGAUUCAACCCAGUUGCGUGGGCUGGGCUGAUAUGCCAGCCCGUAACAAAUAAAAGGGGCUAGUUACUGUGCUGCCCACAGUAACCAACAAAAUAUAAUUAGCUAGUUUUUGUGCACACCACAGUAAUUGGCUAAAUUAAUCUUCAUUUGCUGUAGAACGUAAACGUUCGGCAUGCAAAUGAAGCUGAAGCGAAAAAACGACGGGGGAGGGGGGAAAGUUUCCUAGAGCGGUGGCGACGCUAGAGGCACCGGAUGCGGCAGGGGUGGUGGUGUAGCGGGCGGCUGCUGUUACAGUUUUUUUUUCUUUCUGCUGCCUUCUGUUAUCUCUGCCCCUCCCCCCUCGUUUGUUUCUGUUCUUCCCCCGUUUAUGGUCUAGCGGUAGUGGAAGGUGGUCGGAGCAGUGGCUGGGAGGAGAAAUGACGAUGAUUCCAGGCGGUGGCGCGGCUGUCUUUUCUUCUCCUCCUCUGUACAGAGCCCGCAGUCUCUAUUUUUUUCUUCCCUCUCUGUUCUACCCCUUUCUCUUCUCCCUCUCUGGUUCUGCUGACGUUGGCAACGUUGAUAAUGGCAGGAUGACAGUGAUGUUGUGGCGGUGGAGAGGAAGCACAGCGGUAGUGCCCAGAGGGUGAGGACGGUUCUUCUUCUUCUCUAUGCAGAGACCGCAGUCUCUGUUUUCUAUUCCUUUCUCCCUUCUCUCGUCUCACUUCACUCUCUGUCACUGCUUUUCCUCUAUUUUUGGACGAUGAUGGUGUUGUCGGUGGUGGCUGAGAGGAGUGAUGAAGGCGCUGGUGGAGGUGCAACGGUGGCUCUUCUCCUCCCUCUUCGGUCUUGCUCUUUCACUCUCCUUUCCCCCUUCUCUUCCUUUUUCUUCUGUUUUGCCCGAGCUCCUCUCCUCUCAAAUAAACUCUCCCCCCUCUUUUAUGUUCUCCCUCCCCCCUCUUGUCUUCUCUCAUCUCUGUAUUUAUAGCUGCAGGAAGGGAGGGGCAACUUACCUCUGCCAUGGCGCAGGGUAAAGUGGUUAUCUUGCCCAUGUCUUGGUAUAGGGUAGGGUGGCCGGUCAUGGCUUGCAUUAAUGGUGGCAGGGUAUGGGAUGUGGCUUGUGUCCAGGUUUUGUGGGCAAGUGGGGGGGAAAAGAGAAGGAGAAGGUGAGCGGGAAAAAGAUUUCAAAAAUCUUCUUCUCCCUUGUCUCUGCAUUUGCAUGGGAGAAGAAGCUGCAUUGUGCCAUUCAAAACGGCACCAUGUAGUUUUUUUUUUUGAAGAAAAGGAAAAAAAAAUUAGGAGUGACCCAAAAAUGGGUUAUGAUAACCCUACAGGGUCUGUCAGGACCCAAUCUCGGUUGAUGACCCAUGACUGGGGUUCUACAGCUCUAUAUUGAGCAAGACCAAUUUUCUUAGUUAGCUAACAUCCAAAACUACAAUUACUAUGAAGAAACUUGAUCCUAAUUCUCUUAUCCUCCUACUCGAAUUCUCUCUAAAAGUUAGGAGACGAAUAUGUCCAGAUUCAUCAACCUUUUCAUUUACACACAAUAUCCACAAUUUAACUUUUCUCUUUUAUCUCAACCCCUAGCCAUAUCACAUAUUGUUUAAGAGUGUCAAAAAGAUAUCUUUAUAAGAGCCAAUUUAUCUUUUUUAUUUCAAUCUCCCCCCUUAACGUCAAAAUAAAACAUUCUUAUCGAUUUUACAAACUUUCCAAACAAUAUUCUUCUAAACACAAUCCUUGACAACAGUUUUAAUCAAUCAAAAAUAACAAACGAAUAAUAUUCCAAACAAUCCAUAUUGUCAAGUCAUAAUGUAUUAUUAUGAGUACAACAUAUCCAAAUAUUAACUUCAUCAAAUGGUGAAAUUUCUAGAAAUAUGGGUUUAACCGAUUUGACCUCAAACUUGCAAACCUACUGUGCGAGAUACACAACUUCUAUACUGAAUGUUUGUUUUCGAUCUGCACCGUUCAAAAUCUAGAGAGAAUCAGGAAGAACAACAUAUCCAAAUUAUAGCUUAAUCCAACGGUGGCGGAAGGAGAACGCAGACAGCAAAAAAGACUGUCCAUAAGUGUAUUUUCCCAGAUAUUUUCCUCCUUCAAUAUCUCUCAAACGGAGACUGAUAUAGAAAAUCUCUCCGAUGAAAAUGUACAUGACAUGGAUGAAAACAACAUAUUCGAAUAUCAUUCUGAUCCAACGGUGAAAGGUGGAGUUAUAGCUGUCAGAUGUUCUGCCAUCAAUAUGUCUUCUCUCCAGCCUCUCUCUAAACUCUCUCUUACUCUUGCCAGUCCUCCCAAGAGAGAAAAUAGAAUGAUAUUUAUAGUUCUAGCAUCUUGUUAAUUGCACAUUUAUCCCCACCCCUUUUUAUCAUUUGUACAUAAACUCUCAACCUUCUGUUAUUUGAAUAUUGGCCUCUCUUGAUCUUACGUAUUCAUUUUGUCCUCACAAAUGUUUUUCUUUUCAAUAAUUUAGUACUAUAUUCACUUUUUAUUUCAUUAAUUUCAAUAUUUUUAUCUUGAUUUAGGUUUCUUUAAUUUAAUUUAACCCAUUUUACUAUUGGUUAAAUUUCUCAUCUUUUAAAUACCUAGAAAAAUUAUAACCGGGGGUUUACAGUAUUAUUCAUAAACCUCACAUAGAGCUCCUGGAUGGUUUUAACACCAUCCCCACAUAUAGCCGGGGAUUGCUGUCUUUGUAUGUUUGUACAAACAUCUAUGUCUUGCAUGCAUAAAGGAAGCAAACAGAUUAGGGGAUGUUUGCUACUUUUUCAUGUAUGAAUCGAAAAAUCGGAUUAUAACAAUUUACAUUUAAAAUAUUUAUGUUAACAAUAACUAAUCAACUUGUUUUUAUUUAAUAACAGUUAUGGUCCUUGGUGCUUCAUGUUGGCCAAUCCCAAAUACUUAAAUUGUUGCUUAUGGUUAUCCAAACUAUGAGGGUUACAAUACAGCUUCCACUAGGAUGCAUGUAUUGCAAAGUUAUUUAGCAAUAUUGAUGCAAAAUUAUAUUGUCUAAUUGUAACUUUUAAAGAUACAAUUAAACUAACAUAUUUGUAAUACUAGGUGGUGUGUUAGUAGAAUAUUUUAAAAUAAUCUAACACAUGUAUUGACAUUUUAUUAAAAGGAGCUAGAUAGGCAACAUGUUAUCCAGGUAUUUUAGCCAUUUUUUAAAUAAAAAACAUGACUCCACCAAAUUGUAUUUGUUUGGUAUUUAAAAAACUUAUAUUAUAAAGGUCAUGUGGACGCUUUACAAGGAAGAAAGAUUGACAAUUGUUCCGGCUAUUUGCAUCAACGAGAUGGACAUAUGAACAUCAGUGGUCUCACUGAUAUUUUUUGAGAUGGUUGAACUGCAUUGCCUAGAUCAAGUUGACAUUAAUAUGACUGAUGCUUUGAACGCCAUAACUCGUUGAGGUAAAAAUGAUGAUUACGAUUGGUUAAGCCACCAUGGAGCUUAUGUACCACAAUGGGAUGUACGAAGAAAUGGUAUAUUUACAAAGAUGCAACUUGUGAUUACAGAUAAAAAGUAUUUGAUUUGGUAUAUGAAUAUCACACGUCGGGUCAUUACUCUAAAUCCUGAGUAGGUUCUUAUACUGGGUACAUGCAGUACGAGCAAUAUACUCAAUAGAUUCAAAAUAUUGUAAAUAUGUUAAAAAUUAAGUUUUAUGUAUUGAUAUUUUAUAUAACAUUAAUGUUUUAUUAAUAUUAGGUUAACUUCAUGUUAUGAAAGGAUCGAGAGAUCGCAUCAGUGCUUUGUAAUAUUGAUGAAGAAAAUGAAAGUUACACUUAUGUGUCCUGGUGGUUCAAUGUUUGCCGCACUGGACUUGAAAUCUUUAGAGAGAUGUUAAACUCUUGAUGAUGUCAUGGUAGAUGACAAGGCCACUCAAGCAGGUGCAAGAGCUGGAUCCAUUUAUGCUACUAACGAGCUUGAAUCAUCUAGUAGACGACGUAGAUGUAGAUAGAUUAAUUAUGUUUAUAUAUAAUGAGAUUUUAAUUACUUGAAUAUUGUAUUAUUGAAGUAUUUUAUAUUCAUUUUUUAUGUUAUAUAUGUUUUCUUAUUUUUGCAUUCCUAGGGUUACUUAUAAUUAUGAAAUGUGAGAGUUUGUUAAGUUUGGUGAGAAUUUAUUGAGUUUGGUUAUUGUGGUUUUCUACAGUUUUUUUAAGUAGGAUAAAAUUUUGAUAUAGUAUUUAUAUAGGAAAAACUUUGCUCAAAUUUUGUUAAAAGUAUAAAUUUUUUAACUCUCUAGAAUCAUUAACUAAAUUAAACGUUAGAUUAACAAAGUAAAUAAUAAAUCUCAUAAAGUGUUUUUUGUUAAAUUUAAAUUUUAAGAAAAUUUGUUGCUAGGAGAGAUAGUAGCCUGACUAUCAAUCCUCUGGCUAAAUGGUCGGCUGCUUGAUCCAAUUGUUUGGACCGGUCGAUUGAUCGAUCAAUUAGAACAAAAAUUACGGUUUUUAUGAAAUGAACGUUUUCUCCUAAAUAUAUCUUAUGCAACAAAAUAUAUAUCUUAAAAGUGUGUAUUUUGUCACAAUAUUUUGCUGUUGUGUUAAUUCGACCAUUUACUUGCAUUUUGUAUGCACAAUUUAACCGUUUGAUUUAUGGGUCCAGCAACAAACCUUUCUUCUAGUCUUCGGUCAGUUUUUGGUGAGGGCAUGGCAGAAGAAAAAUGCAAAUGGAUUGUUAAAUAAUGAAAGACCUGAAGGGCAUGGCCAGAGCGGCGAUGUCUGCGAAGUUGCUUGAUAAAACUUUGAAGAUGGGAUUGUUUAAUGGAAUUGCCUUCCUCAAACCAUUGCUCUAUAACUGGAAUCAUGGAGACCCUUUGGAUUUCCAGCCUCUCUUCAAACCAUGAUUCCUUUGUCAAUUGCCAGGCAAAGUCCAGUCACAAAAUUGUCUCCAGUUUUUAUUUUUUUAUUUUUUUAUUUUAAAUUAAUAUUUUUAAAUUAUUUUGAUGUAUUGAUAUAAAAAAAUAAUUUUUAAAAAUAAAAAAUAUUAUUUUAAUAUAUUUUUAAAUUAAAAAUAUUUUAAAAAUUAAUUAUAACUAUGCUACUAAACACCCCAACCGUCAAUCAUUUUAUGUACAAACCAGGUUCGAUAAAGAUAAAUAAAAAAAUAAAAAAAUAAAACCUUUCUCUGACAUGACAUGUAAUAUUUUAUUUUAGUAAUUAUGUCAAGGACGAAAGGUUUGCUGCAACAAUACACGGUAGCACCAGCAAACAGUCAUCAGCCAGCCACAUAAGCUGUUGUCAACACUAUUCAUUAACAAUAUAAUAUUAUAUAAUCUCGUAUCAUCUUGAGAUGGAUAAAACAAAGAGCGGAGAGACUCAUCCACAUCGCAGUGAGUCAACUCAUCAAUGGAAUAAGCCUAUUUAAGCAAGUAGUAAGGGAGAGAAGCAGCAAGGGAACCAUUUAUUUUGGUGGCUUGAAGUUGCAAGGGAGGUAGCUGGGCUGAGGCUGAGGUUGCUGCUGAUCAUGACUAACAGAUUGAGAAGAUCCCUUAAGAUCAAUUCUCUUUCGUCAAGCAGAGACUGGGAUGGUAAGCUAUACUAUUCUGUAAUUACAUCAUCAACUCCCCAUGACAUACAAUUACUUAAUUACUACUAGCUAAUUUUUUCUUUGAACAGAAGAACCAUCUGCCGCCAAAACCAACCGCCUGGAGUGGCUCAACAUCGACAUUAAUGGUACUGUUUCCAGUUGUUUUCUUACUACUUGCUUAAAAAUACUACUAGUGUUUCAUGGUCAGGUUCUCAAACCAAGUACUGGGAUGCUGCGCUAUAUAUACUACUUUUAUGGCUACUUCAGGAUGCUUGGAACAACCCCAUAUCAUUGAUAUAUACACAAGCUGAAUACAUUGACGAUGUAGAAAAUGCGAGCAAAAGAAAAAAGAAAAAACCAAGUAAUAAUAAGAUCAUCUUUUCUUUCUGUUGUUUUUAGAGAAUUCUACUAUUUUAGAGGAGACUGGGAGGGCAAGAGGGCAAAAAUUGAUAUACGAAGGGUGGAUGGUAAGGUACGGAAGGCGAAAGAUCGGGAGUACAUAUAUUCACAUGAGGUACUUCACCCUGGAGCCCAGUUUCCUUUCUUAUUACAAGAGGAGACCGAAAGAUAAUGGGGUAACUAUUUUUAUUUUAUUUUUUUGUUAAAUUUGCACUAGUUCUUUAAUAAUUCCCAAAGUUUAUUUCGAAUGAGUUUCUGGAAUUAAAAAAAAAAAAUGUAUCUUUUUUAUAUGGAUUUUUGUAUUUAUGGAAACGAGAAUGCAGGUAUGUUGUUGAGUGUUGAAGUCUUUGUCUAUUUUAAAUUAGGUUCCAAUCAAGACCCUUUUGAUUGAUGGCAAUUGUAGGGUAGCGGAUAGAGGUUUGAAGACUCAUCAAGGACAUGUGAGUUUUUCCAUUCAGAUAUAUAACUAUGCAUAGUUUUCUAAUAUAUAGGAUCAUUAGCAGCUUCAAUAAUUACAUCAUACUUUUUUAUCAGUUUCAUUUUUAAAGAAUUGGAAAGUUGAUGAAUUUCUUUUUUGAGUAGUGGAAGUUGAGGAAAUUUAAUGGGGUUGGAAAUUAUAUAUGUUUAAGUGACUUCAUGGUGAUGAUGGAUGUCAGUAGUAGUGAAGAUAGUUAAAUUGAUGUGCAUUACACGAAUGCACAUCAAUCCAAUUUCGUUCCAAAACAUAAAUAGAAGUGGUGGCAUUGCCAUGUUUGAAGGAGGAUAUAUCUUCUUAUCAGAAAUUUGCCAACUGUUUUGGUAUGCAAAUGAAUUGGAUUAGCCUCCAUUAGCAGAUAGGCUUCACACUAACUUUGUAUUUGUUCAUGUGAAUGUGGAUUUGUUUUGUGUUGAACUGAAUGUUAAACAAACAUUCCAAAUGCUUUUUUGGGAUUUUUUUUUUAACCUAAUGAAACUGCAUCUUGGGAAGCUGGUAAUUGUUUGGGUUUUUGUUUCAAUUACUGUUGGAAAAUUAGUUUGCUGUUGUCACUCUGGUGACUUUGCCUCUCCUUCCUCUCUUUCUCUUUGAGUGGUCCCUUUUUCAUGGAGAACCAGCUUUAGGGAGCUGGUGGUAUCUUAAUUAGCUGUAAUGUAAUUUUGCUGAUGGGAGAGUUUCAAUGUAAUUAUUGAAUCUACAAGUUAACCUGAAUAUUGUUUUCAUUUCUGCAGAUGAUUUACACUCUAUCUGUUUACAACAAGAAAGAAAAGAAUAAUGCAAUAACAGUGAGUAGUCUUUGCUCUCAGUUUCUGAAAUUCUUAAUGAAGAUAAUAUCUUUAGUAUCUGCCUUGGAAAUAAGCAAAAACAAGAUCUUUGUCUGAAUACAACAUUCUUAACCUUUUGCACUUCCUUAGCUUGCUGAAUUUGUUGUGGCAUCUGAAUUGUUUGUAGAAAAUGUUGAUCCGCAUGUGCUGUUUUCUUAUUUCAGUUGUCGGCAUUUAACAUCCAGGAAGCACUGAUCUGGAAGGAAAAAAUUGAAUCUGUAAUUGAUCAGGUCUCUAUACUUCAGAAUGUGUAAACUUUGUUAUCUGCCAGUCCUUAUAAUUCGAUAGCUUUUUCUCCUUCUGAGUUUUGGUUUGAUUCACUGGUAAAUAUAGGUGUUAUGAAAUCCUGGAUGAAAUAUCCUUGGUUAACCAUAAGAUGUUCCGUUGACUCUUUAUUGAACAUUUUCAGUUUCUAUACACUGACUGGAAUGAUGAUGCAUAUAAGACUUAUUGCAUGAUUUGGUUGCAGCAUAACACUGUUAGUGACAAAUAUGCCUCAUACAAGUAUGGAUCUGGCAUGGAUAAUGGGGUGACUGCUAGUUCAUCAGAAAAUGGAAGCCAGUGAGUGCCUGUUCUAUUUCUCUGCUAGUUUAGCUGUAAGAAAGUAGAUGCCUUCAUAGCAUUAUUUUCUGCCUGCUUUGGUAAAACUAUGUUGAUACUGGCAAACAUAUUCUGUAUUUUAAGGGAAUAAAUUGUGCAGCAGUUCACUUUCAUGUGUCUUUAUUAAAAGAAUUUCAUUACAUUUUAGGUCAGCCAUUUUCUACCACUACAAUAUUCCAGCAAUUGAUGUUAGAUUCAUCAACAAUUUGAACUGCUAUUGUAGCUAGUUUUAUCAGCUGCUCCAACUGCUAUGAAAGUCUGGAGGCAAUAUGCGUGUGCACUUUCCUGAUUUCUGAAUUGUCUGCAGGUUUGGUGAACAUGAGGAUGAAGACAACACUCAUACAAAUUUGUUCUGGAGAAAAACAAUUGGAAAUGGUUUUCAUGACUCCUUUCAUGGAAUUCAACUUAUUGAUUCAAUCUGUUUCCAAUUCUCAUUUGGUUCCUAACUGGCAGUUUCUCCUGAUUCAGUAGUGGACCGUACACCAGAAUGUGACUCAGAAUUGCCAAACCAGACUGCUAACAACCAAGCAUUCCCUAUAAAUCGUUGGCGUCUUCUAAAAUGCCAAAAUGGUGACCUAUUUCUCAUAGCUUUCUUUCAUCGUUUAAAAGUUCAUAUAUAGAAGCACAUUAAAGACUUGAACUGGGAAUUUGAUUGCUGGCUAUGUUACGGUGGUAUAGAUGAAUUUAUACUCAAGUUUUUUUUGCUGUACAUAUGACAGGACUCCGCAUUUUUGAAGAGCUUACUGAAACUGAUUACCUUGUAUGGAAUCAUUUGUUCAUUUGCUUUCUGUGUUAGACUUUGGUUUGCUAUGUAUGAGGCUUUAAUUGGUCUUGCCACCAUUUAUUGUUUCCUUGAUGCAGCUGAGGAGCUGCAGUCAAGCAAUGAAGGCUGUAGGUAUUGUUAAGGCUACAUGUGAAGAAAUAUUUGAACUUGUAAUGAGCAUGGAUGCAACACGGUUUGAGUAGGUUUUUUUCCCUUUUCACCCCAGAACUUAAUAUGAUGGUUUUAGAGACCCUGUUAAAUGUGUGCUUCCCCCUGUAGAUUGAUGCACUGCUGUGUGCAUAAUAUGGUGUUAAAUUCUACCUAUAUGCAAUUUACUUGAAUCUUUAAUUCUUAAUGUUUUAUUAACUUGACUUAUUCACGAAGAACUCCUGCAAAUACUUGAAGAGAAUUGCUGUUUGGUAUAUAUGAUUUUACGCAAUGUGCUAUGUUCUUCGUGUACUUUGACAAUUCAUGAAUGAUAUUUUUCUUGCCUUUUGCAGGUGGGAUUCCACUUUCCAGCAUGGUUCUUUAGUUGAAGAGGUAGAUGGACACACAGCAAUACUCUAUCAUCGUCUUCAGCUGGACUGGUUUCCAAAGUACUAUCAUCCCCUACACCCCCAAAUAAAUUGCUUCCUUGCCUAUGUCAAAAUAAUGAAUGCAUUUCAUAUGGAGUGUUGUUGGUCGUGUUUUCUAGUAUGAAAUUUCCAAAAUAAAGCCAUAGAAAAUCCAUAUUAAGCUAUAUAUCCUAAUAUUUUCCCUUCUUCUUUUCCAAGCCAUGUAUGCGCAAUAAUUAAUUGUGUUAUGAAAAUCUAAGUUGCUCUCCAAGUAGGGGCAUAAAUACGCCAGGGUUUAGCCAUUUUUCCUUGAGAAAGAAUAAGUAGGAUGUGUUUUACAUAACCUACAUCGAACAGUAUUUUUAAGAUUACUAGUGUAUAUCCAUAUUUCAAGAGUGAAGUUCCUUUCGUUCCUUCAGAAAUCACAUAUUAUCUUCUUCUGUCACUUACAUAUAAAUGGGUUGCAGGUUUGUGUGGCCCCGUGACCUUUGCUAUGUAAGGUAUUGGCGGCGAAAUGAUGAUGGAAGCUAUGGUAAAUGUUUUUGAUUGUCCAAAUCAAUUUUGAUGUUCUAACUUGUCACAAGCUUAACCUUCUUGUUAUUGUGCAGUUGUGUUAUUUCGUUCUAGAGAGCAUGCAAACUGUGUUCCACAAUCAGGUUAUGUGCGUGCUCAUGUUGAGAGUAAGUCUCAAAUUCCCGUCCCUUUGGUUUGUGUUUAGGAAUCUAUCAGCAGAGUUUCUGAUAGUUUUUAGCUACGUUCUGACUUACAGGUGGAGGUUUCAAUAUUUCCCCUUUGAAACCUCGUAAUGGGAGACCUAGAACACAGGUGCAGCAUCUUAUGCAGAUUGAUCUAAAGGGAUGGGGUGUGGGUUACAUUCCAUCAUUUCAGCAGCAUUGUCUUCUUGAGAUGUUAAAUAAUAUCGCUGGUGAGUUCCUUCUGUGAUUUACUCACUGAAAUCUGCCACUCUUGUCAGAAAUUGAUAGGUUUAUUUAGCCUUGUUGUGCUUAAAAGUUAAGCUGCUUUGAUCCAACAUUUUCUAGAAUAGAAGUGUUGUGGAAAAAAGAUCGAGCAAUUUAUCAUAGAAAAGCAGCUAAAAGCUAAGUGUGGAAGAAGCACCUCUUUUCCUGCUUCUCUUAUUAACCAUAGCAAGGCAAAACAAUAGUAUUGUAUGCUAAAAUUUCUCAACAUCAUAAAUUGUCAUUCUUAUAUGCUUUUGCACUACUUCCUCUCAUCUGGAAGUCUGGGUUUGGGGUUGGGUUGUAGGUGCUAAUUUUCCUUUUGUUUGUUUCCUUUAAUUAUUUCCAUUCUCAUCAAUAUUCUCAUCAAUAUCACAUCUUGUCGAAUUUACGUUUCUUUUUUUUAUUAUUAUUUCAUUAUUGAUCAAAUAGAGUUGAUGCCAAAGGCUAAGAAGUAAUGAAACAUGUAACUGUUAAAAGGGACAUGAAAUAUAACGAUUGAUUUGGCAAAGCGUACUCCACAAAACUUCACUAUAAAAAAUUGGAGAUUACAUCCACUAAUCAAACGCUACACAAAUACCUUAUUAUUGAAAACCCAGUUACAUCUAGAAUCUUCACAACUACUAGGCCUCGCAAAGGCAACCAUUUCACAAAACCCACCAUGGCACACACCAAAGAAUUCUACCAUCUAAGAUUUGUGGUUGCCGCCACACACCAUCAAUAUUAGAGGCGCACAAAAAUUAGCCACAACACAUGAUAUUUAUACUUGCAAUGAAGUCUUAUUUUCAUUAGGAAACAUACUUCAAGUCCAGCUCCAACAAGAAAAGUCUCUUUUCGUAAACAAAAUAUAUCAACACAUUUCAUUCUUGUUUAGGACACAACUCCAUGCAAUUACCAAUCUUACCUAAACCAACUCACCAAUUUAAGCCACAACUCAGCAGUAACUUGAUGUUUCUAAUUCCUGUUUGGUCAUUGAGUAAGCACUCCUUCAAUCUCAAUGCUCCAUUUUUUCUGGUUUAGUAAUGGUUAUGUUGCCUUUUCUGACAGGACUACGUGCAUGGUGUGCCCAAAGAGAUGAAAGAGAUGCCCAUACAAGAAUCCCAGCCAUAGCCAUUAACACCUCAGGUUAUGUUUCACCCCAAAAAACUGCAAGUUCUGCACUGAUGGAUGAAUACUCCGAUGAGGAUGAAGAAUUUCAAAUAACCGAGGAAGAAGAAGAGGUAUGGCUGACAUCUUGUCCUCAUACGAUUUCUACAUCAACAAUGUAAACACUACUCUUUUUUCUUAAUUUUCAGAAUAACCCAACUCAGCAUAAGAACAAUUCAAAGAGAACAGGUGGAUGAUAGCUGCAACAUUUCUUUGUUUUGCUCAUUUUAAUAAGUUUAAUCUUUUAUGGAACUGUUUGAGAAUUUAAAUAACAAUCGUUUAAACAGUCUUGGAGGAACAACCAGUGGAUCAAAUUGAUUUAUCCUGUUUUUCUGGUAACUUAUGUCAUGAUGAUCAUGACAAUGCCCAUGACUGCUGGCAAAUAUCUGCUGGAGACAACUUCAGCGUUCGCAGCAAGCGUUUUUUUUAUGACAAAUCAAAGGUUCCCUGCCAUUUUUCUCUUUUUUUUAGUAAGUACAUCGGGAGUUAGAAAGUCAUCAUCUUAUGACCUUGUUUAUCUUGCACUUGUUGCACUCUAUGCAAUGUGCAUAUGAAGGUCCCUGCUGGAAAACAUUUGAUGGAUCUUGUUGCUGUGGAUUGGUUCAAGGACACGAAAAGAAUGGACCAUGUUUCUAGGCGUCGAGGUUCUGCAGCACAAGUAAAGACCUUCCAGGCUCCCCCCUCUUCUCUUUUGGUGCUGUUCGUUUCACAACUUCAAAACACACUUUUCUGAAAUAAUUUGUUCUGGUCUGCCAAUGGACCUUUAUUAAAUAUAAAUAAUCUCAAUACUUUAUCCAGUUGGUGUUGGUGGGCAGAGCUGCUUUUGACCAUAUUUGUAUCUGAUUAAUCCUAAGAGUUGAAAUAGCUUGGUCACCCUUGUCCAUGUUGAUUGAAUAAUUUUUAAGAAGUCCAUGGUUGUCAAUUGUAUGAUGGCGCUAACUUACCUAUGCACUUCUUUAAAUGCCUGUGUAGGUUGCUUCUGAGAAAGGGCUUUUCUCUGUGGUUUUUAAUCUGCAAGUAAGUUUAUUCUACCAGGUGGUGUGAAUUUCAGUUGCUCCAUUUCAACAAUGAACAACUGUGUUUUAUCUCAUUUAUCACAGGUACCUGGUUCAACACACUACAGCAUGGUAUUUUACUUUGUGACGAAGGAAUUAGUACCUGGAUCUCUCUUGCAACGAUUUGUUGAUGGUGAUGAUGAAUUCCGAAACAGUAGGUUUAAGCUUCUUCCAUCAGUUCUCCAGGUAGUGUUUUUGAAUCCUGCAGGGUUCAUGGAUAUGUGCAAUGAGUUCAGCAUGACUAAGUUGCUUUCUAUAUUGAACCAUGCAGGGUUCAUGGAUUAUGCGCCAAAGUGUAGGAAGCACUCCAUGUUUAUUGGGAAAAGCAGUUGAGUGCAACUACAUCCGUGGUCCCAAGUACCUGGAAGUAAGCACCACACAAAUCUGUAACUGUAGAAUUGCUUGAACAACACAUCAGCAUCGUCUAAACUGGUUUUAUGCAUCUGUAGGUCGAUGUUGAUAUUGGUUCUUCCGCUGUUGCUUCUGGAGUUCUGUGGCUUGUAAUGGGCACAAGUCCAACAUUGGUGGUUGACAUGGCUUUCCUAGUACAGGUGUGUCAUGCAGGAGGCUCUAUUUCAUAGAACCAUCUCGGUUAUUUAUAUGACCAGGAAGGCUACCAACUGAAAUUACGGACAUUGCAUUCAUACUCAUGAGCAAGCUACAAGGUUUAAGAGGACAAAGCCUUUAUGAUCACUUUCUAGGAUUAGUAUGCUAUGUUGUAAUAAAAAAAAAUUCUCUUGGUUGUUCAUUAUUCUAAAACAAGUUUCAUCAACACUUUGAAAAUAUGAAAACCAAGUUUCGCUAGGAAAUUUGGUCUAGAAGUUUACUUUAAGAGAGAUUUGAUCGAUUGAUUGGGGGGAAAAUAGUAAGGUAAAACUGAAACAGGAAACAACUUAUCUCAGUUAUGAUGCAUAGUCACUGCCCUUAAAGAAUAUGUUUAACAAAAAAAUGAAAUGAAAAAAAGCACUUUGGAUGUCUCUUUCAAGCUCCCUUGGUAAUGUUGCCACUGCAUGUGCAUCCUUUCGUGUUCUACAAUCCUUGUAAUGCUUCAUCGCUCAUUUCAAGCGGGGCUAGUGUGAGAGCCAGGGAAUAUUGCUCUGGCUGCAUUUUGGUAAUUGCUGGUAUGGUAACGAUGCAAGCUGCUCUUAUGCUUUGAGAUUUAUGUAUAUAUAGCGAUGCAUGGAGAGGCAAUACUAAAUCAUUUACCGUGGAUCUGUUCAAAUUUUACCAUUCUCCUUUUAAUUUUCCCCUUUUUUACAGGCAAAUACUACAGAAGAAUUGCCAGAGCAGUUGAUUGGUGCUGUCCGUGUUUCUCACGUUGAGCUUUCAUCAGCUAUGGUUCCCAGAUUGCAUCCAGAUUCUUCAUGACUAGCAGAGAUCAUUCGCUAUUGAUUUUGACAAUAAAUCAUUUCUUCAGACUUAAAUAUGCAAGUGUUUUAUCACAAAAAGGAUAUAUAUAUAUAUGCAUGCAUGUGUUUCAUUCCAAUUUCAUGAAUUGUUUUGUAUUGAUCAAGAGUAGGCAAAAGUACAAAACUACUGAAUCAGAUGAUGGCAGGGGGAGAAGAUUUAUCAUCCACCAGCGUAGAAGGAUGAAAUUCCAAGAUAACAUUAUGACAUCAAAUCAUUGUAACAUGAGAUUAUGGUUCAAUAAAUUGAGUGGUAUUCAAGAAAAAGGCUGGUGGAGGUCAUGAAAAGGGAGAAGUGGUGGUUGCUUCCAAGUUUCUUGACAUAUGGUACCCACUGGAUGCGAGAGAAGCUCUUCUGGCUGCAUGUUUUGGUACAGGAAGCUGAUUCUUGAAAUGGAUUGCUGAUCAGCGGAAAAAGAAGUCCUUACUCUUUGAGAGUAAGAAAAAGAAAACAAUUAUGCACGCAUUUGCUCAUUUAUGAAUUUAUGGAAAUAUUCAUCUUUAGGCGAGCAUUAGUAGUUUUUUUUAGCCAAAUGGCCUAUUCAAUAAUCUUAUUUUUAAUGGUGAUUAACUUGACUAGUCAUAACGCAACCCUUUGACAAAACAGAGAUUAAGCAUGAACUAGCCAGUUUGCAGGAUCAGAUUGUGCUUGAUUGAGAAUCAAGAUUUUAGUAUCUGCAUUGGAGUAGCAAAGUGUCUGAAGUAUCUACACCAGGAGAGGACGUUCUGCAAUUUGAGAAAUUAGUUCCAGAGAAUUGGCAGCCAAGAAUGUACAUGGCUGUAGCCCGAAUGAUCAAGGGAUCAGUUCCAGAGAUCUCCUACAAAAAAAAUAACGAGGCGCUGCUGUGAAAUAUAGUUUCUCAAUUUACUAGAUCCUCAGGAUGAUAUUUCAAUGCUUCAUGCUGGAUUCCUGAAUAAAGAUGCUAAUGGGGUUUAAAAUACAGUGAUAACUAUCUGAUUGAUCUACCGUUUCAAACUUUUUGAAGGGCAGAGUAAGUCUGGAACAGCAUUUGCUUCAGCUUCAAUAGUUCUAAACACGAUCUACCUCGUCUUCAGCAGCAGGAACAGGUUCAAUAUGAUGUGAGGCGUGAAACUUGCUAGAAAUGCUAUACACUGGAGUUCUGAAACCAAAUUACUAACGAAAGCACAUUUAAGGACUCAACAAGGAGAUAACAAUUCAACAAGAGUACACAAAUCUGGACAUGCCAAGUGUGGCUAUUUUCAUGUAAAUCCAGGGAUUUACAUUAACAGCCAACUCGUUUCUUACCCUUGUCAAAGUACGAAUUAUAUGUAUUCUUCACGUUGUCCCUGUGCCAAGAGCAUAAGCAUUGCCAAGAGCAUAGGGAAACGAUAAAUAAUCAAGAAAUAUUGUUGAAACCAACCAAAAUGUUCUGCCACAUGCAUGCUUAAAGGAAUCAGGACCACCUUGAGCAGAUAUGGUGAGCUUAUCAAAUCACACCUUGUGAUGCUGGGCCCUGUAUGACACCAUAUGGAUUGUAGGUUUUUGAUGGUAUUCAACUAUUGUUGAAACAAAGACAAAAGGAGCAAUUUUUGCCUUGCUGCAUCAAAUAUGUGAAUAUCGUUUCCUGCAAUUACAAGAGGAAAGAAAGCUCUCACACACUAUGAAUAUCGUUUCCUGAGUUUUACCUGGAAACAUGCAUAAUCAAAGGUUAGUAGGUUAUAUAUGUGAAGGUUUGGGAAAGGAAACAAAUAAGAGAAUUCCUGACUAUCAGUAGCUUGGUUAGCAGAUUGUCACAACUCAGGAAAAUACUAGUAGAGUUUUCCAGCAAAAGGGAUUUACAAUUUUCAACAACUAGGUAUCUUGACACCUAUCCAAUUUCGGAAUUUUGAUUAACAAAAGUAUAACAAUACAAAGACUUGUCAUCAUUAAAGUUCCAAGUUCCAAAGUUGGCAUUUUUCAUUGAAGUCAAAAUGAAAAAUGCAGUUCCUUAGAACAAACAUGACUUAGCUGUAGGGUCUUUCAUUCUCAGUACUCCAGAUAGUUUUGGCUAAAAACUGAAGAAAGCACGUGCACAAGGAACUUGUCGAUUGGUGAUGCCAAUUUCGUUUUCAUUCUUCCUUCAUUGCAUUAAACACAAGGAAAUUUAUAAACUUCUCUGUUUCUGCUGCGUGGAUAAGGCAAUUCAAGGCCUGUUUUCUAACAUGAAAUCCAGUAAUGCACAGAAACAAGAGUUCAUUGGUGUUAAAGAAAUGUACAGAAGGAGCAAAGGAAAAGGAGGGCAUUGAUGCAAAAUAAACAGUUGAUGUUCUUGAGGUCAUUUUGAUUUCUUUUUGUUGUAUAAAAUAUUUGAUGGCUACAAGCGGGACAACAAAUAUACAUUCUCUCCCCCACUAAAAGAAGGCAAACUAGCAUGUGGGUCGAUGCUUUGGUUUGAUGCUCUAAGCUUUAUUUGCCUAGUUGAUGAGAACUUCGUCUCUUACUAUUUCUGGGAUGGUUCCAGCACUGGAGUUUGGGAACACACAAAAAGAAUUAAUCUUGUAAUUUUGGAAUUUCCCAUAACAUUGUUAGAUUCAUAUUGGAACUCAAGUUUACACACUAUGUUUUCAUGGCAUCCAGGCUCAUAACACGUUUUGAUAUGGUGGAUAAUCUAAAAAGGUCAACAAUCUCUCCAUGUAUUUUAAAUGCCUACCAAUCAAAAUCUCUGCUUCUGACUUUUGACUCUAUGAACUUGUGCUAUGGGAUAUUCGUUAAUUGUUUUAAAGCAAUACUUUAUUAUUAUUAUUAUUAUUAUUAAUAAUGUGGAUUUCUAUGUCAACUUGAACAACUUGAACGCAUCUGAUUAAUCCAUAAAUUCUGAAAAUAAUAACUAUGCAACCCUAAUGACCCUUGAAGAACUCAUUUUGAAAGCAAUAAUACUUUCCUUCAUGAGAGAUGGUUUCAGUUAGAGGAUCUAAAAAGUAGUGAAGGGAAAGUAGACAAUUCAAGCCCAAGCCCUAAUCCUCUCUUGAAAAAUUGACGGGGGCGGCUUAUAAAUAUAUCAUCUAGAAGGAAAUGAGAAUUAUCUUCAGAUUUUAUAGUCACUUUCCUUGACCUGGAGAGAAAAUACCAUUAAAAAAAAAAAACGUUGAUUUUUCUUCUUCGAAAAAGACACCGAGAGCCAAAUUCAUGAAGAAAUUUCGUUAACGUAUUUGAUCAUUUACCAAAAUUCACAUGAGACAACCUUCACUUCCAUCCUAUAAAUACCACCUCUACUUAUCUCAUACAUGUACCACAAAACCAUCCUUCAACCCCAAAUAUUCUACUCCUUGUCGAUCUUCUCUGAUCAUUCUAUCUAUAUUACAAUGGGUGUCAUCACUUUGGAAAAUGAAUUCCUCGUUGCUGUGUCUCCAGCCAAGCUUUUCAAGGCAUAUUGCCUUGACACCGACGCUCUUAUGCCUAAAAUUCUACCAGAAUAUAUUAAGAGCUCCGAGAUAAUUGAAGGAAAUGGAGGACCAGGAACUGUCAGGAAGAUUACUUUUGUUGAAGGCAAGUGUGUGUGUUAAUCUCUACCUAGUUUUUACACUUGAAAUUAGUUUAAUAUAAUCUAGCUUUUAUUUUUAUUGUUUAAAGAAGAUUGAACUUCACCUAUAGCUUCAAGUAACAAUCUAAGUUUGUUGAUCACAGAACAUGCAUAUUUUGAUCAAACAAGUAACAAUUUAAGUUUUCAUUUGCAGGAAAAGGGCUCAAUUAUGUGAAGCAAAAGAUUGAAGCAAUCGACGAAGAGAACUUCACCUAUAGCUUCA